GAAUAAAGAUGUAUAACCGAUAAAGAUGUAUAACCGGCUAAACAAAUAUAAACAUAUCUCUAGUGAUGACUUUAUUUAGAUACUCUUUCUCAGUUCUAUUAGAAAAUAAUAUUUCCCAAUGCUACCCCUAAAACUUACCAUGCAAAUGGGUGAUCAAGUCACAAGCAAUAAUAUUAAGCACAUGAAAAGAUAAUGCAAAUAUAAUAUUCAUAAAUAGAUAGGAAGAGAAAUUACAUUAAGAGUAAUUGGCUGCCAUAUUUCUAACAAAGAGGGUUUAGCCUCUCAUUGUCAUGGAGACUUUACAAUUACAAGCGAUGAAUAUUUAGUAACAGGGGGAAAGAUAAGAAAGGGAAUGAAGCGAAAUAAUGACUCUCAAUGUUUGCUUCUCCUUCUUUUAUCUUUUGCCUUUUAUAAGAAAUUGUAUUCUCUUGGAAUUUUUGUGUGUCUUUUCCUUCUUCUUUCUUUUUUUAUAGGUGCAGAUUAACGGAAUUUUUGCACUAAUUAUUAUGCUUUUUGGAUUCUUCUCUCUUGGAAUCAGUCAUGUUUUCCUUAAUUAGUCUGAUUUCCUUAAUUAUUCCUGUCUUCCUGAAUUAUCCUAUUUUUUUGUGCUUUAUUUUACUCACUAAGCAUUAUAAAUCCAACGAUGUAAUUGCCAAGGGUCUUUGGAUGUCUUCUUCUAGAGUAUCUAGAGGUACCUAGUAGAAUGCUCACUCUUCAAGGCGUGCAAAUUCUUAAAGAUUUUACCACAGUGGUAGAUGUUGCAAAGGUCAUAACAUUAAUUAUUUAGUAAUAUUUAAAAGGUGUAAAUAUAUUUUUGAUUUCUUUAAUUUAAUGUUUUUUUUUUGUUCCCAAUUUUUUUUUUAAGUCUUUAUAAAAUGUAAUUAUUUAGUCCUUAAAAUAUUUUAAAUAACGUUUUAAACAGUAAAAAAUUUAAACAGAAAAAAACAUUAUUUAAAACACUUUAAAGAAAAUAAACAUAUUUUACAAGUACUAAAACAAAACAAAAAUUACAAGAAUAAAAAUAAAAAAAUACAAAAUUACAUAAAUAAAAAAUGUAUUUAAGCAUAUUUAAAAUCAUUCACUUGUUUGAAAAAGUUUACUCAUUGCAAUUCUUAUGUAACAAUACAUAAACAUUUUAAAGAAAUUAUUCUUAAGUUUAUUAAAAUUUAUUUUUUGGGUUAAACAUUUCAACUUUUUAGUUUUUUUUAUAUAGUUGUGUGCUUUUAGACAAAUAUUCUAUGCUAUGAGAGGUAUGUAAUAAUUUGCUUUUCUCCUCAACAAUCACAUAAAUAAACCUUUUUUAUAUAAGUUUUUAGGCUUCUAAUUCUUCUCUUAAAGUGUAUUUUAUGAGAACCACAUCUGGCUCUUACCUUUUGGUUGUAUAAACUACAAGUAUAUAAAAGAAAGGAAAUAGUUAUUAUAUUUAGAUUUAAAAGAUCAUGAUAUAACCUAUAUAACUAGAGGUGAAUGAACAUGAUAUAUUGAUUAAACUAUCGCAAUGUACAAAUAAUUAAUUAUUAUUUUUUAUAUUAAAUGUCAAUGUAGGCUUGUCAGUAACACAAUUCAUGAUUGCUUUUGAAAUAGUAAGAAAACAAUAAAGCUUAUUUAUAUUUAUAUGUAUAUUUUAUUUGUGAGAGCAAUGUGCAACAUCCUGUAUUUUUCAAUUUAUCUAAUAUGAAAAUACAAUAUCAUUUUAAUAAUAAGUAGUAUUAUUGAAUUUACGAUUGUGCUUAAAAUUAUAUUUUUAUAAAAUAAGAAUUUGAAAGAACACUUAUUUAAAUUUAGAGAAGAUUUUAUAAACUGAAAAAACUAAAAUUGGUGUAUAAGAUUAAAACUUAUAGCAAACAUUACUUUGAAAUCUUCUAAUUUAUAUUUCUCUAUUUACAUAAAUAAAUAAAGUACUAUUUUAUUUUACAUAAUAGUUUUACGAUUAUAUAUUAGUUAAGCUAAAAUAAUAAAUAGAACAUAUCAUUAAUUAGUUUUAAAAAAAUAUUAUAGAUAAUUACAAUUUUGUGUGUGAAUUAAAAAUGAAAAUUUUAAGUUUAAAUAUUUAAAAUAUUAAUAAAUAAAGCCUUAGUAAUUUUAUAUCUGUAUAGACUAUAGUUGAUAGGUAAAUUAAGUAAUUAAUUAAGAGAAUGUUAGGUUCGAUUAAAUAACUAAACAAUUGAAAUAGUAUUAACUAAUAUGGGGUUAUCAUUAGAUUAGUGGGUUUAAAUUUUGGUUCUCUUUUGGGCUUUACAAAACUGCAGGACCCAAUUGCUCUUUUAGGUGCGUAGUUCUUUUUGGGCCAAUUACACUCUCCAGAGUCCAGCUUAAUUCUACACCAAGUAAUGGAGCAAUUAUUAUCAAUCCUGGUGUCAGCUAUGCGUGAGUUUUGAAAGAGAUUGGGUGUGUGUUUGGUUUAAUCUUAAAUUGAACGGUACACAUUCCUAUGCAUAUUUUGUAUGAAGUAGAAAUUGAUAACAUUUGAUUCAAAGAUUGUUUGUGCGCCUUCCAAUGUUAAACGAAACUCACACUAGACUUUUAUAAAAUAAUCCAACGGCCAAAAAUUUAUGGGAGUUGCUAGAUUCUUGUAUUUGACAUAUGUGCUGAAACAAAACAUUAUUUUGUGCUUAUAAGAUUAUUGUGACAUGAGAGGUUAGUAUGAAAUUAUUAGUUAAAUUUGGAUUUAAAUUUUCAUUUGAGUGGGAGGGAGUGGGAGAGUGGUGAGACAUACAAUUUUUUUUAAGAGACUCCUUCCCGUGUAACCGUGGUGAGAAAAUGAGAGAGAUAUGAGAUUUGUUUUUAUACAAUUAAAACAAUUUGGGUUUCUGCAAUUUUGGGUGUUGCUUUGGCAAAACUCUCCUGGAGAAUCAAAUAUUGAUGUGGUGCAUUCCAACACUAACCACGUUUUGGUCCAAACACUAGCCAGACGAAUGCAAGUGUAGGAAAAAGUGCGUCUGUAGAUAAAGCAUAUACACAAUUAGUCAUAAACUAAUAUAUCCAUCACUACAAGACUCCUCAAUUUGAGCCAAAAUUAUCAACAGGUCAAUGUCAAACAUACAUUUAUUUAUGGAUUAUUAAUUUCUAGUGACAAAUCUUUUCCAUCACUACAAGUCAAAUUUAUUGUAGUGAUCUCCAGUUCUCCACUAUAACGACUAACUAUUUUAAAACAUUAGUCUUUUAUUUAUCAUAUAAAAAUAUAUUUUAAGAAAUAAAAAAUACCAUGAAUAGUGAAUAGUUAUAUGAUUAUGCUUUUGGAUAUUAAUUAUCAAUCAUUUAGUGUUAAUUUAUAAAAACUACUAUUUUGUAUUCUAUUUUUUUUUUCUCAAAACCUGAAUACCAUCGUCCAUCGGACUAUACUGAAAAUAAAAUAAAAUAAUUAUUACGAAAAAAUACAUAAAAGAGUUUUUGUGAUCGUAUAUGAUAAGUGUUUUUUCUAAUUCUCUCAAUAUCUAUAUAAUAUAAUUAAUAUGACUCACUUUAUUCUUUAGAAAUAAUAUAUUAGUACAUUAUAUCUUUAAAGAUAUUUUAAGAACUCUAAAAUUAUAACAUAUAAAGAUUUUUACUUUUGUAGAAAAGAACACACAUUGAUUAAAAAAUAUUUUAUAUAUAUAUAGUAUUUUUCUGGGGAUAAUGGCAUAACAUACGAACAUAUACUAUAAGAAAAAAAAAAAAACCCUAAGAUAUAAGGCGAUAUCUGGAUAGUUCUUCAUAUUUAAAAAAUUAUUGUAACAUUUUAAUUUUGAUGAUAGGAUUAGAGAAGGUAAUGGAAAGGGAUAUAUGAUUUGUCCAAAAAUAUUAAACAUGAUCGAGAAAGCUACUCUAUAGGGGGGUCAUCUCGUUUCCUUGUAAGACCACGUGUCGAAGCCAUGCCUAAUGACUUCACGUGCCAACGUGGUCCAAGUAUAUUCGAGUCAAAGGUAUAUAUACGUCGUAUCUUAUAACAUCAUGUUUCAGAGCCAUGUACACAGUAAAUGGUUUACCACUUCACGUGCUAAAUAGUGGUCCUUUGGUCCUAGACCUAGUUCACUAGAGUGGAAGAGGUAUGUGUUUAUUUUUCACAUGUUGUUAUUGUCAAUUGAUUAAAAAUUAUUUUAUACAUAAAAUUUAGAAUAAAUAUUUAAUUACGUAACAAUUUGUAAUUAAGUAAUAAUAUAGAAAAUUCCAUACUGUCAAAGUAUUUUAAAUAAAUUCUUUAUUAAAAAUAAUUGCAAAUAUAAAUAUUAUAAAUAAAUAAUAAUAUAGAAAGUUUCAUAUUAUUAAUUUGUUUUAUAUGAUUUCUUUAUCAUAAUAAUAGAAAACAUAAAUAUUAUAAAUCUAUAUUAAUAAUAUAAUAUGUUGUACUAACAUUUUAUGAUUUUAUAUAUAUAGUAUAUUACAUCAAUAGUUUCUAUCAUUAAAUUAUUUAUUAAACUAAUAUAUACAAUUUUACUAGUAUGCACAAUGUUUUACUUUUAGGUUUGUUGUCAUUAUUGAUUAUACACAAAAAAAAUAUAUUAAAAUUUAAAUAUAAAUAUAAUUUUAAAUAGAUUAAUUUUUGUCAAAUAUAAACUAUGUCUAAGAAAAUUAAUUUAACUAUAUAAAUUAUAAAAUAAAGAAUACCCAUAAAGAGGAAUAAAUACAUCAAAUAUAAGCUCUUAAUUGAUCAGCUUAAGUUUCGCUGCUUUUGCUUCGAUAAAUAUAGAACAUAAUAAUGACACCUGAAUUUUUUCUAACACAUAAAAUGUCAAUGCUAUUCAGCAAAAAGAAAAGGUCAAUGCUAUAACGAAUUGAGGUUCAAUUCCUAUUAAUAUAUUAUUGGGUUAGGAUUAACAUAGCACUUUUUGAAACAGAAUGAUCAAAAGAUCCGUGUGAGCACUUUUGAUCACAAUGAGCACACUUAAUUAUAUCCCAAGCUUGCAAGUACAUGAUUAAAUGGAUACACAACCAUGUAUGUUUUAAGAAACCAAUAAUAAUAUCGUAAAAAAACAAGAAGCAAAAAUAAUGAUUGAACAACUAACAAGAUUUUUAUGAAAAUUAUAGCAUAUUUUUAUCAAAUGAGAAUUUAUUUUACGGUGAGAAAUGAGAAAUAAUUAUAAAUGUAGGUUAUGAGAUCAUAUUUAAAUGCUUGAAAAGUGUUUUAAAUAUUUAUUUAUUUAUUUUUAUUUUAACCUUUUUAUUCACCAGAAACAUUAAAGAGAUUCUGACUAAUUCAAAAUUCUAUUGAGAGAUAAAUAAAAUCUGAUCAAUAAUUAUUUCUAUCAAGAUGAAACUAAAUAAUUUAAUCAAUUAAUUUAUAAAGAUUUAUAUUAUAAAUUAAAUAAGAAUGUGAAACUUUUAUGUCAAACAAACUUGAGUGUGAGAUCAAAUUUGCUAGCUUAACUUUAAAAAUAGAUAGAUUUACCCAUAGGAGUUGAAUUUAGUGAAAGAGUUAGUCUCUCACGAUAUGAAUCAAUAUUUGAAUUGCUAUUAGGAGAUGUGCACUCACAUUUAGUGUGCCAUGCUUCGAAUAAAAACAUAUUAGCCUAAUAAUUUAAUAAAUAUCUACUCAUACAAAUGAGUGGUGUAAGAUAAUUUUAUAAAUAAAAUUAUAUGUGCAUNNNNNNNNNNNNNNNNNNNNNNNNNNNNNNNNNNNNNNNNNNNNNNNNNNNNNNNNNNNNNNNNNNNNNNNNNNNNNNNNNNNNNNNNNNNNNNNNNNNNUAUAUAUAUAUAUAUAUAUAUAUAUAUAUAUAUAUAUAUAUAUAUAUAUAUAUAUAUUCGUAGACAACUUGUAAUCUUUUGAUUUAGCUUUUACUAGUGGCAUUUAUAAAUUGGUAGACGCAGAUGGAGUGUGGCCUCCAAAUUUCUUGUUGGAUAUUUCUUGGCAAUUUCUAACAGGAACCUGAAUAAAUGAUUGAGGUUGUGUGGGUCUCGUGCUGAGAAACAACAAUGUUUUCCUUUUGCCACACAAUUUCUUGCUUUGCUAACUCAUCAAUUACUCAAUGAAAAAUAUUUUCUAUUUAAUAAUGAAGUCCAUCAAAUUUCUCCAUCUUUGACUCCAUAUAUAUUGUUAUAUAUCUUCAGCACUCAUGACCCUACCAAAUAUUAAAUACUCAUGAAGAUCAAUUCCCAUCAGACGUCGAAAGUACAUAAGAUCAUUGUCUAAUUGUUGGUGGAAGCCAGCCUCACCUAUUGCCAUCUUUGGACCAUUUUUGUAACAUCUUCACCACAAUUCAAAUUGGCCAUCACACCCCUUGCAUCUGAAUUCACAGACCAAAUCAAGGACCUUUCUAUAUCAAUCCCAUUCUUUCCCUUCAAAAUAGGGCACACAAUGGGUCAUGGAUGUUGUGCAUAUCAUACUAAUGUCUUGAGGCUAAUGAACAUAGAGGAAACCAAAUAUUGGAUGACACGUGACCUUGACUAGUGUAAUAGGGGCAAAUCCUUGAUUUGCAUAGACCUAAUGGCAUGGUGGUGGGGUUUGUUGGAUCUUAAUAUAAGUUUGAUAUAUCAUUCUCAAUUUGCUUAGACAUUGGUUUUUGCUUUUCAUAUCUACAUUUACUAGAUACACCCAACAAGUGUCGUCACCUUAUCAAAAUUAAUCAGGUGAAUACAAUUGCUUUGUUAUGAUGAAGGUGACAAUAAAUAUGAAUUGGCCUAUUAUCGAUCACAUCCACGCGCACAAUAAUUAACUUAACUAAAUUUGUCAGUUGGGAGGGUUUCUUAGAUGGGAAACCAAAUAUAUGAUCGACCCCAAUAUUUUCUCGUAUGUUUCUAACAAUUCUACAUGGAAUGAGUUUCAUAGCUCUCAUGGUAAUGCCCCAUUGACCCCUAAUUGAGCUUUAUACAUAAGUGGGAUGGGUGAAGGGGGGUGUUUUCAUCAUCUCAAGAACUUUUUGUAACGACAUGGUUAAACACAUCCUCCCACCCAUGUCCUAUUUGGAUAUGGAAAGAUCGAGAAUGCUACUUGCAAAAAUGUCUAAAAAAAUGUCAAUGAUAAAUAGUGUAAUAUAAAAAAAUAUUCAAAAGUUAAUACCAAAAAAAUAAUAAAACUCCAUCUUAUGUAAAAAUGGUAAAUAAUUAUUUUAAGCAUAAAAAAUAAAAUAUAAUAAACUAGAUAUAGAAGUAAGCGUCUCAACAAAAUGUUAUAAGCUAAUAAAAAAGAUUUUUUUAUCAAGCACUACUAAUACUUUUAAACAAGCUUUUCCACGAAUAAAAAACUUAAUUAGUGUUUUAUUUCCUGAAUUUGAUAUGUAUAUUUUUAGUCCAUUAAAUUUAAAAAUAAUUUUUUUAGUUCCUUAAUUUUGAUAAAUUACUUUUUAAUCCAUCACGUAAUAAAUUAGUAUUUUGUGAUGGUUUUAACCAUCAUAAAUUGAUUUUUAUUUUUUAGCGGCUAAAAUUUGCAUUUUAAAAAUAUCACAAAUGUUAAUUUAUUACAUGAGAAAUAUGAGAAAUAUUUUUUAAGAUUAUUUUUAUUUUUAAAUAAAAAAUAAUAUUAAAUAAAAUUAUAUUCAAAUAUUGAGACACUAAAUGUGCAAUUAACAAAUACAACAGCAGUAGUAUAUAUAAAAUAAUUUUUAUUUAUCAUAUAAAUAAGUCAAAUGACUUAGUUGCUUUGGUAGGAAUGGAAUAGUAAAGGAGCAAGAGUUCUAUUUCCACCUAUAAUAUUUUUAUCAUUUUAAUAGUUUAUUUUAUUUUACACAUUUUGUCCUUUUACUUUCAAUAUUUUUGCAUAUUUUAUUUCUAAUUACAUGUCUCUACUACAAUGUCAUGUGAACGGUCCAUAUGAGUGUCAUGUAUAUUAUCACGUUUAUAGUCAUAAAUGUCAUGUUAUCAUUCAACAUUCACAAAAUACAUUCAACUAACUAAGGUAAAUUUUAAAAAUAAAUAACGUGGAAAAAAAAUCGUNNNNNNNNNNNNNNNNNNNNNNNNNNNNNNNNNNNNNNNNNNNNNNNNNNNNNNNNNNNNNNNNNNNNNNNNNNNNNNNNNNNNNNNNNNNNNNNNNNNNAAUCAUAUUGCAAGCGAGAAAAAUGUGCAAUUAAGCUUAUUUUAAAUAUAUAUACAAUGUUAUUAUUAUUAUCAAACGAAUUUCAAAUAAUAUAUUAAUUGAAAAUAAAUUAUUUCAACUUAAUCUAUGAUUUUUAAUUUAAAUCUGUGUUAAGUACUUAAAAUAAAAAUUUGGUUGCUCAUAACAAUUAUAUCUUAUUUAAGUAGAAUUUUUUUUUCGGAAGAUACUAGAAUAAAAAAAAUUUGCAAAUAUGAUCUUACCCGGUGAUCAGCUGUAAAUGUUUUUUUUUUCUUAAAUAUCUUAGCAAAAACAAUCCUUGUGAUACUGCUAGACAUUAAUUAUUAAUUAUGAACGUGUUUGUCAAUAAAUUUUUGAACCAUUAAUUGUAAUUUGAAUAAAUGAUUGUACACUCAUCUUUCUUUUUAACGUUGUCUACCAUGUUGACAACAUGCAUCUAUUUUCAUUUAUCGCACCUAUUUAAAACUGGACUGCAACCGAAGAAAUAGGAAUCAAAGUCAUCCGUGGCACAUUGGGGCUUAAUCCUUCUUCUAUUUCUUUUUUAAAGUCACUCGUGGCACAUUUAAUAAUUAAUGAAAACGAUAUUCCAGUUCAUCAAGUCUGUGGAUUUCAGUAACUAAAUCAUAUUUGGCAAUUUGUUCACAUUCAAAUUCCCUCUACUAUCUUAAGCUAUUAAAAUUAACCGUUGAAAUUCAUAAUAAUUGAAAUUUAAUUCAAUUAAAGUGUGUUGUACUUUAGAGGAACAAGUAGAAAAAAACAUCUAUUGUAGUAUGAGAAAAAUGGUUAUAUAUUCACAUUGUAAAAAAAUUUGCAUAAUCAUUCAAUCACAACUUACCAAUAAAUUUAUUAGCUUUUAAGAUAAUCAUCUUAUGAUUAUUUAAACAGUGAUUUGUGAUUAGAUAGUGAUAUAAAACUAUUUUGCAUCAUUAGUGUAUAGGCAUUAAUCUCUUGUAGUAUUUUUCAUAAAAUUAAUAACACUAUGUUAUAUAUAUGCAUGCGCCUAAUAAAUUAUGAAUUUGUUAAAAUUUAUAUAUUUUCUCGAUUAGUUCUACACAUAAAUUAAGUAGUUAAUUGGGCUCAAUUAUGAUAAGUGUGGUGGUGAUGGUAUGGUGAGGCAAAGAAUGUGUUUAAGGUAACUAUAAGCAAUUUAGCAAUGGGAAUCGGUCUUGUUAGCUUUCUUGAAAGAAAAAUGUUUCAUAAACACUCAUUAUGUUAUUUAACACCUAGAGAAAGAAAAAAAAAGAAAAAUAUAGAUAUGAUAAUAUUUAUGAUAUGAUAGGAAGAAAAAGAGACAACAAUAAAAUAUGUCCAAAGUAAUAAAGCAUUUAUGCAUUAUUACUUGAAAAAAAAUGCUUCUAACAAUGACAUUUAAGACUAAACAUAGUGAAUCUUAAUUAGGUCGCAUAUCAGCAGCUAAUUUGAGUAAGAUAUGCAAUAAUUUCUAGAUGAUUUUUUUUAGAAAAUAGUUUUUAGAUGAUAAUAGCUUCAUUUUUAUUUUUAUGAUAUUAAUCUUAACUUUAUUAAUUUUAAAAUUAACUUUCAAGAUUUUAAAAAGGAAAAAAAAAAACAGGUUCAACAUAUUCUUAACCAUUGCUCGGCUUGAUGUGACAUUCUCAAUGUAUGUAGCAAACAUCCCAUGAGUAUGAUCAACAUGCUAGUUAACUAUAGCUCAUGGUUUGCUCUUUACCAAAGACCAAACAUUGCAUCUCAUUAUUAUGUGAAGAGAAAUGGAUCAAUGACCAAAAUGAUGUAAAAUUUACAACUUCUAUGGCUAUUCCAUAUCCACGACUUAAUUACCUAUAAAGCAAGAAAAAGAGCCCCUCAUUAAUUUGGUAGUCUCAAUUUGGUUUUAAUAGGUUUGGACUUCAAAAUCACACUCGAUGUAUUAUGAUGGUGAAUUUGAGUUAUACUUUAUGUUAUCUCAACUUGAUAUAGUAUAUAUAUAUAUAUAUAUAAUAAAGUUAUGGCUUCAGUGGAUGUAUGAUGUUUUUUUUAACCUAAAUCCAAACGAUGUCGAAAUAAUUUUUUUUAUAAAAAUGUGUAAUCUCACUCGGCAACGAGUACACGUGACAUCACAUGUUGCAUGUCAAUGUGUUCAGCAAACAGUUAAUGAAUCUUGGUUAACGACACGAAACUCAGAUAAAACUUUUCAAAUAUUAAGGACUCAAUUCAAAGAAAAAAUUUAUUCAAAAACAAAUAUAAAAAUUAAGUAUAUAUAACAGACAAAAACAUAUUUAAGCCUUAUAUAUUAAUAAUAAUUUUUUUUAUGUAAUUGAUAAUAUUUUUGUAGAUGAUAUUAUAUAUUUUGAAAUAUGCUAUAAAUAAUUUAAGUUUCAUAUUUAUUUUAUGAUUUAACUACACAAUAUUAAAAUUAAUAUAUUACAUUAACAAAUCUUUUUCUUAUAUCACAUUUCUUGAUUUGGAUUAGAUAAGUUCAAGUUUAAAUAACUGAAUUUGAGGUGAAGUAAAGACAAAAUUUAAUUUAUCUCAAUCCGUCUCACGUACACUCACCACCUCUAGCUAUGUUUCGGAACUCCACAUGUGAACCAAAGGAGAAAGGACUUUCAAUUCCCAUCAUAAAUUUUGACAAUAUUGGUGUGACAUAUACCUGCGUGUAUAUCCAUUAUAUGUAUCUUUUCGAUUAUCAUACAUAAAAACCUUGCUAUUUAUUAAGAAUCUGUACAUGACAUUUGCACAAAAGGAGUCUCUCUUCACAUUUAUUUUGUCACCAACUUGCAGAUAUAUGCUGACUAUAUAUAUAUAUAUAUAUAUAUAUAUAUAUAUAUAUACUCUCAUUCUUCAUCAGCCUUUUAUAAUGAUAUUCUUGUAUAGGUUGUUAUGCUUGAAUAGUUGUUGCUACAGUUCUAACAGUAUCAUUUAUUGUUUGGCUAAAAUUUCCGCUCUCGAAAUUAAUUUUGGGGCGAGUAAAGUUGCUUUAAAGAAAAGUAAUGUUUUUAAAAUUUUCUACUACUAAGAAGAGUUAAUAUUAAGUGAGAGACUUAUAAAAUAUGUUAUAUUAGUUGUUUCGAAAAAAAUGUGAUUAAAAUAAUAUGUAAAUACAAAAAUAAAUAAAAUUAUUCGCGUUACCAUGAAAAUGAUUUUCAAUCCUCCACCACCACAGUAGUUCUUGAUCUAUUCACCCUUGGGAUACAAUAAUCCAACUAUUUAAUCUCUAUUUUCUAUAUAAAAUAGAGACAAAAUUUUCCACUCCACACCGUUUACUAACAACUAUAUUAUGUUUUAUAAUGCACGAGAAGAAGCUCAUCUUCACAUAUUGUACCACUUUUAUAGCUGUGAAAAAAAGCUAAAUUAUAUCUUUCUAUUUUCUCAAAUUCGUAAAUUUAAUCUUCUUUUUUUUAAUUGACAUUUCAUCUCCUAUUUUUUAAAAUUUGUAAAAAUUUUAGUUCCCAUUUUUUAAUUAAAACAUAUUAUCCACCACUUUUUUAAAAAAAUUUAUGUUAACUUACAUAUUUAUUAGUCACAUAACAAAUGAUUUUUUAAUUAUUUAAUUGAUAAUAUGCUUAAUUUAAAAAAAAAUAAAAAAUUACUAAAAUUGGUCAAGGGGACUAAAAAUGUAAUUUUUUUAACAUGAAAAACAAAAUGUCUCAAUUAAAAUUAAAUGAGAGGACUAAAAUAACAAAUUUGAUAAAAAUGAAAAAUAAAAUGUCUCAAUUAAAAAAUAAAAAAUCACGGAUUAAAAAAUAAAGAGAUUAAAAUUAUCUUUUCGCAAAAAAAAUGCUAAUCAUAAUAAUUAAAUCAUAAAAUUUAUAAGUUAUAAUCUGUAAAAGCAAGAAUUUAUAAGUUGUUUUUAAUUAUUCGAUGUUGGUUAUGAAUUAUUUUAAAAUAUUGAUGGUCAUCACGUAAACCUUGCUAAAAAUUUCUAUUCAACAUUGAUUAACUCAACAAUGUAAAAAUGUAAACUUUUAUAUAUUAAAACAAUGAAGUGAGAACAUAUGACUUUAUACAAACUAUUUAAUCCCAUCACUAUAAGCCGAUCCUAGUUAGUGACCUAAAUUUAAAUAGGUUGUACAUUAAUUAUUAUUGUAAAUAAUUUGUGUUAGAACUCAUAGUUCAAAGUAGGGAAUUGAGAAAAAAAUACAAUUAAAAAAUAGAAUGUGUAUAUUAAAAAUGAGAGAGGUAAGUACAAAAUGAUUAUUCAAGCCAUUAUCCCACUUCAAAUUGAAAGGUAUUUUCAACACUUCUAGCUUGGGAUGGGAUGAACAAUAUAAGGACAUAUAAUAAAAAAAGAAAUACAAUUAAGAAUACACGAAAUGCAUCAACUUAAAGGUAUGGCAGUGUAUAAAACAAAUAAAAGAUCAAUUAAUACACAAAUGCUUAACUAUUGAGCAAAAAUUAAACACAACUUAAUAAGACUUAACUACUUAAUAAAAACAAAUAUCCUUAACCACCUAAAUGAUAAAAGAAACUUAAGAUUAACCAUCAAGAACAAGAGUUAAAUUAUGGUGCUUAUCGACUCUAGACAAAAACAAAAAAGAUCACAAUGCUUAGUCCUUCUUGGCUGAAGCUCACAAUAUAUAAUUCUUAACCACCAUUGACAAAAGUUAACAAUUGAGAUUGAACAACAUAUAUAAACACAAAAAAAAAAUCCCACAAUCUGUAUGCUCAUAAAUUCUAAAUAAUGAAGGCUCAAAACUAUCGAGACUUUUGAAGAAUACUCGAAAUCCUAAAUCUAUGAUGACUUGAAAUGUAAUAUUACCAAGAUACACAAUCGAGUAAAUAUCAAUCACCAUGAAAAGAUUGAAGAGUGAAAACCAACAUCAUUUGAAAAUCAAAACCAUCACAUGCUAAGAAUUUGAAGUGGUUCUCAAACCACGACUAAAUAAAACAUCAAUAUCACCACAUUCAAGGUUGAGAACACCAUUACUUGAGAAGAGGAGAACGACACCAUAACCUUAUUAUCUCUAUCACAAGCUUUGACAAGAAAGUCACACUCAUCCUCAUUGGAAAGAAAAAUGUUUCAUGAAUACCCAUUAUGUUAUAAGACACCUAAAGAGAGAAAAUAUAAAAAUUAUAAAAUUUACGAUAUUAUUAGAAAAAAUAGAUAGAGGAAAAUGAGAUAUUAGUAAGAUAUUUAAAAUAAGUGAAUGUUUAUACAUUAUUGCUCCAUUGAAAAAUGAUAUUUCAAAAUUAAAGAGACAAAAAAUAGAUUUUUUUAAAAUUGACAAAAAAAAUGAACAAAAUAUUUAGAAAUAAAAGGAACUUUAGAAAUUAUCUUACUUUAUAUUAUCAUUUAAUAACAAAUCACAUUGGAUACGAUUUUUAAGAUAAUUACAAAUCUAACAAACAUGUUAUAGAAUAAUUUGUUAUCAAAUUAUAAUAUAAAUUUUAUAUUUUAGAUUCAUAAUUAUUUUUUUUUUCAAAAUAAUGUGUCGCCCUUCUUGUUUUUUACAUAGACGUGAAACAUAAAUUUAGUAAGUUAAAACAUUAACUCCAAAAUGUACAUCUUGAGCCACAUGCACCUCCUCACAUCAGAAACCAGAUUUUCACAGUUCUUCAAACUCGAUCAACGGCUACAAAAUCGAAUUUAUGGAGCGAUCAAAGGAAAAAGCAAGAGUAAUAAUGGAAGAAACGAGUCAAGUUGGUUGCCACAUCAGCACAUGCCAAACUGUCAUAUUUGCUUUUGCCAACGACAACGUACACUCACGCGCGUGACGCCACUCACUCACUCACAACAACCCUUUAUAAAGUCCCCUCCCUCCCUCUCUCAUUCUAACUCCGAUUCUCAAACACUACUACCUCUUCCUUAAUUUUCUUCAAUCACACCAAAUUUAACUACCUUAAGCUUUUCACAAUUUCCAUAGUUUCCUUGUUUCCAAUUAUUGCAUGCCAAUCAUGUACAAUUUAGAGAAGCCACAGAGAGAUGAUAAACAGUUUCUAACUCCCUCUUUCUCUUCCACUCUCCUCGACCAAAUUUAUCGUUCCAUCGACGAGGGUGAAAGAAAAAACGGCGAAACAAAGUUCUACAGACACACUACUAUGAGCAGUAGCAAGAGACACAACAGAAGCGAUUCGAAAUCCAUGGACGCUGGAGACAGAAAAAUUGUCGGCGGCGCGAAAAACAACAACAGAAAACAUCUGCACCGCGACGAGGAUGUCAUGUUCUUCAGCUCCACUUCGAUUUCCUCCACAGAUUCCUCCAGCCUUGGAUUCUCCUCCUCCGACACCGAAUCCAUCUCACGCGCCUCGUGUUUCGCGCCACAGGUGGGGCGCGGAGGAGGAGGAAGCGCUUCAUUCCGUUCCGAGAAACAGGGAAUGCGCAUCUUCGACAGUUUCUGUCGAACCUCCUCCCAUAGAUCGUCGGAACACGCGCAUUCCCAAUUCUGCAUCACAAGCCGUCGUCAUCUGUCCGUGUCAGAAGAUCAUAAACAAAUCAGACACGGACACAGACAGGUGACGGCUUGUGACGAAGAAGAAGAGGCCUUAAUGAUCAAAUCCAAGUCGAGGGCCUUAAAGAUUUACAACAACCUUAAAAAAGUGAAACAACCUAUUUCCCCUGGCGGCAGGGUCACGAGUUUCCUCAACUCGCUCUUCGCCAACACGAAGAAAACCACCACCACUACUACUUCUACAAGUUCCCGCACGUGCGGCGAAGUGAAUACUCCUUCUUCUUCUUCUUCAUGUUAUUAUUCUUCCACGUGUUCCUCUGCUUCUUCGUUUUCACGUUCUUGCUUGAGCAAGACCAUGUCUUCCGAAAGGGACAGGUUGCGCAAUGGGGUGAAGAGAACGGUGCGUUUCUACCCAGUGAGUGUGAUCGUGGGUGAAGAUAGCAGACCCUGUGGGCACAAACGCUUGUGCGAAGAGAAAGAAGCUUCUAGAGAGUUCUUAAGAGAGUACAAUAACCGACACAACCCCAAGAUUAAGAGCAAUGAUAAAUUGGUCUUGAAGGACUUGUCUUUAAGGACUACUAACGUUGAUGUUGAUGAUAACGAUGACGACGAUGAUGCAUCGAGUUAUGCGAGCUCGGAUCUCUUCGAGCUUGAUCAUUUGGCUGUGUUUGGAAGUGAUAGGUAUAGUGAGGAGCUUCCGGUGUAUGAAACUACUCAUGUUAGUACUAACCGCGCCAUUGCCAAUGGCCUCAUAGUAUAAUAAUUCUGUUCAAUAUACGUACAGAACCAUUUUUGAGUUUUUUCCCCCACUUUUUUUAAGUGGUUUUGUUAAUUAUGUAUGAUUAUCAAUAUUGGGUAAAUUAAUAAAAUGAUUUUGAUCAAAUAUUUUUUGUUGUUGUCUAAGAUAUCCUUCGCUCGAGAGUUGGAUACUAAUAAUAUUUUAAGAAUUGAUUUCUCUUAACAAAUAUCCUUACAAUUGAAAAUCAAUCCACAAAUUAUAUGCUUAAACUAUAUGUUUAAGUGAGAAAUUAUUUACUAACCCUAUAAUAUCAUGGUCGGAUCAUAUAAACAUAAUAAUACCUAUUUGAUUUUAGCUUGACAUGAUUGUAGGUAUCCGUUGGGAAAGCUUAAUUAAUGUUCACACAAUUAAUAGGCUUUGCAAUUGCUAAUAGACUUUUUGGGGUUAGGAGUACAGUUUUACAAAACCAAAUUGAUGUAAAGUGUGUAAUUUUAGCUGUUUCACUUUUUAAUUUUGCUAAAUUUUGUGGCGUGAGAACAAAGCCGAUCUAAGAUGAAGCCAGAAGCACAUAGAUUCUCUGUUUUAUGUAAAAAUAUAACUUUUUUUUUCCUUGUACGUAUGUGGGUACAUGUGUAUUGUGUAUGUAUGUACGUAACUGCCAUAGAAUGUGGCAGUGUUUUGUUGAACGAUCUAAGAAAACGAUAGAAAGAACUGUUUUUAUGAAAGCGAGUAGUAGAGAGUAGGGUGCUUGGUUUUCUGAAAAAAAGAAAAGAGGUGGGGAUUCGUAAAUUCUUGAUCACGAUCUAGCUCUUAGUAGUUUGAUGGAGGAUGAGGAAAAAAGAAAGGGGAAAAAAGAAGAGAGGGAAAAUGAGAGAUUCGAGAUGGUAAUCACAAGCAAGGUGUGAGAGAGGGGUGUGAAUGUGAUGGUAAAGGGAAAGGCAGAUCUUCGCCCAUGGGAAUAGAGAAAGUGAUCGAAGACUAAAGCUUUUGCUUUCUCUCCUCUUUCUUUAUUUCUUAUCCUUCUUCUCUAGAACUCCAAUUUUUUAGCUUUGUAGUUUGUAUUGUAUUAAUUAAUUAACCACCGUAGCUUGCAGAUUGAGCUACACUGUUAAAGGCUUCCCUUUUUAGAGCAGAAAAUUAAAAGAAUAAUAUUAACAUUUAAUGCUAAUCUACACUUUCAGUCAAAGAUAUAGUAGAAGAUACAAAGAGAUAAGAUAUAUGACGUGAUAAAAUAGAUAAAUAACAUGCGUAACACUUAUGCAUGAUUAGUAUAAGACAUUUUACAUCCAUAAAUGGAAAUUAUUAACUCAUGAAUUGACGCAUUGAUUUAAAGUUUUGUUAUAUUUAUAUGUAAAUAAAUAAGUGUUUAAUUUUUUUUUGACAAGAUUCCUUUGAGUAAGCAGUAAUUAUUUAUUGUGAGAAAGAUUAAAUUUCGAAUUCAGUGAAUUGAAAAAUUGAUGAUCUUUAACUUAGGAUAAGUUUUUUCUUUAUAAAAAACUACUAUUGAUAUAAUUUCUUAAAAUAAUUAUUAUGAAAGUGAAUAAAUGUGUACAUAAUUAUUUGUAUUUUUUAUAUUUUAAUGAUUUAUAUAUGAAUGAUGACCUAAAUAUGUGUUAUAUGAUCAUUGUAUAGUUUAUUUUAUCUGAAUAAAAAAAGUCCGAGAUGAGUAGUUAUGAUGUUGGGGUCCAUGGUUGAAAUUAAAACUUAUGCAUGUACUAAUGUGAUCUUGGGUUGAAGUUUAUACUAUACGGUGUUAAUGUAACGUUGAAAAUAAGCUUAUGAUGAGUGGAAGGAACGGAAGAUGAAGAGUGAAGUAGGCAAGAUUGCAGUUAGUAUGUGGUCUGUUUAGGGCACUAGUAGGUACUUGCUACAAAUUCGGCAGAAAAUUUGAAGGCACUGUGUGCAGUAAAGUAGGCAAUUAUUAUGGUGGGUAUUAAGAGGAUGAUUAAUCACCGCCGAACAAGACAAGACUGUGUGGUCACAACUUUGUUUACGCCAGAAAUUUCAGUGUUCAGUACUGCUACAAUCAUGCGUCCUUGAGAUAAGUUGAGGACUAGAUAUUUUAUUUGAGAAUGUAAGAUUCUUAUAACAAAAAAUAAAAAGAUUAUUUUUAUAUUUUCUUAUUUUUUUUAUAUUCUUUAUAAACAAGUAAAAUACACUAAAAACAAAUAUUAUCAAAUAUAUUUAUGUUCAUGUUUAUGUUUAAAAACUUUUUUCAAAGAUAAAUAAGUACCAGCAUAUGCUAGAUUCGUACUUGUGUAGUCUAUGAUUUGAGAAGUGAAGAAAAUAAAAAUUAAAUUACAUUUACUAACCUUUACAAGAUGAGUGACUCAUACAGUCAUAGUCAUGACAUGUGCUUGCUGUUCUUUAAGCAAAUUCAUUGAAUCUAAUAACUUUUUAUACUUCUAAUCCUAUUAAAUGAAAAUUAAGAGUAUGAAUUAUUUGAAAGAAAGUAAUUUUUAUUUUAUUUUCUCCUAAAUUUAAAUAAUUUUUUAAGCUUUUAAUUAAUAAAUUAAAAUAUUAUGGUUACAUAAUUGAAGCAUUUAAAAUCAUUUUCUAACUCAACCCGUAUACAUUAACAGUUUUUUUUUUUUGUAUUUAAUUAUGUACUUUCAAAAGCAUUUUAUUUUGAAUUUCUAACUUGCAUGCAAGUUCUUAAUUAUAUGAAUAACUAUUCAAUGAUUUUAGUUAAAUUAAUUUUAAAAUAAGGUUAAAAGUAACAGUUUUCAAGUUCACGCAGUAUGCAUUUUACAUAUUAAACCAGCUUUUUUCCUAAGUAGUACAUUCCUAAAUGCACGAAUAACAUUGUUUUUUGUAAAAAAAUUACGAGUAAGGAAGUUCUGAUGUAAAUAUUGAAUCAUACAAUAAAUUUUAAUGAUGACUUAUAUUGUAUCUAAAUAUAACCUACCCAGGACCCAUAACUCAUGAAAAAGAACUCUUAACAGAAAUUAAAUCCAAUUUUUUUUAAGACAACACACUAGUUGAGCAAAGAAAAUUUCAUUGACAAUACUUUUACAUCACUGCUAUUUAGUUUGACUAUUGUGUAAUUUAUUUGCUUGCAUACAUAUAUAUAUAUAUAUAUAUAUAUAUAUAUAUAUAUAUAUAUAUAUAUAUAUAUAUAUAUAUAUAUAUAUACGGGGAAUACUAGCUGACACACACUCUUUUUUGGAUAUUCUUGUGAUUAAUUAAAAUUUAUUGAAAAUCAUUAGUUUUGAUAAAUUUUACUUCUUAUUUAAUAUAAGUAAUAUAAGUAAGGAAAGAAAAUAUUAAUUGAGAAAUAAAAUCCUCAAAAUUAGUUAUUUUUAAUAAAUUUUAAUAAAAAAAAUCCAAAAGAGAAUGUAAAAAAAGUGUUGGUAGUACUCUCGUGUUGGUACUCAUUCAUUUGGCAUUAAUAGUAAAAUCCAUAUUUUUAUAACUUUAGGCGUGGUCGUCCCCACUACCCAAUUUAGUUGCCUUCCCCAAGAUAUUAAGAUAUAUUCAUGCACAAAAAUUUGGACUUAAAUUUCAUAUCCCCUACAAAGAAAAAAAAGAACUUAAUUAACUUAUCCAAGUCAAAAUCAUCAUAUUAAUCAAAAUUGUGUAUCUUAGGUAAAAUGAACCAUGAAGCAUAGAAAAUCUGUAGUUAGCAGCGUGCGACCACCAGAAUGAUCCUGUUGGUUGGUUUCAUUGCUAGUAGACAUAAUGACCUAUCCUCACAUGAAGAAUGCAAUAUAUAUUUAAAGCUCAUUACGUGUGAUGGGCAUGCAUAAGCAUGAGGUUGUCAUCGAAAAUGGAGGAAUGGUGGGAGACCCACACUUAAUUGAAAAUAAUCGCUUUAUUAGUCAUAGUCGUCUAAACAUGACUGUAUCACAAACUAAUACAAUUGCUAUUUGUUUACUAAUUAGCAGAUAUGGUGCAUGUAGCUUAUUCAUGAAUAUAAAGAGAAUGCAGGUAACUAGGGAUCUGCUUAUGGAAUAUAAAGUGCACUUGUUUAUGAUUUUAUCCAAAAAGCUUGCGGUAUUAGCAUUUAUAAGCUUUAAAAAUUGUGAACCACAUGUGAUUCAAAUUUGGUCAGUGUGGUGGGAUAUAUUGUUGCACCAUCUUCGUCGGUUAGAGAUUCCGUACUUCGGAUGAGGUGGUGAAGCACAGUACAAUGAUGAGAGGAAUAAUUUUGUAGUGUUUUCAUUUAUAAAAAUAGAACUAUUUUUUCUCCCCUUCUUUUAGAGAGUUUGCACAAUAAGGAGUAUUAUUAAUUAUGCGGCAAUGACGGUCUCCGGCCUUUAUCAAUUUUUAAGAAAAAUAAUUUUAGCUUUUAACAAUUGCUUAAGAAAAAGUUUUAAAAAUAUUUUUAAAACUUUUUUUUCAAAUAUAUGGAACACAUAUAUAACAAUAAAAAAUUAUGCCCCUCAUUUAAUUUACACAAUUUCUUAGACUUUUUUUAUCUUUCAACAAACCACCUCACUACAAGUGACUCUAAAUAAAAUAGGUUUCUCUUUAUACUUUUAUCAACAUUUUUAUAUUGGUUAAUAGAUUUAAAAAUAUAAAGUAGUAUGUAUAAAGAAAAAAUAAAUUAAAUUAAAGUAAACAUACAAAUCAAUGUAUAAUAAAAGGAAGCACAAUACUACUUAUAUAUCUGUUAGCAAUACUCUCUUCACACUUAUGAAGUUCUAUCUAGAUUUUAUUGUGAACUUAAUUUCUUCUAAUAAAAAUUUAUACCUUAGUUUAUCAUGCUGUUGAAAGAUUAACCCCUACUAGACUCAACCCCAUUUUUAUCUAGAUAUUAUAUAUAUAUAUGCAUAACCCUCAGGCCUCAAGUGUCCAAUACUAACAUGCAGAGUUUAGAUUGAUUUGGCAAAAAAAACUAAACUAACAUGCAGAACCAAUUGCAAAAUCAUACUAACAACUUUAAUUUGUAUACAAUCCAUGUUGAAAAUUGGUGAAAGAAAAUUAAAUCGAGAAGAACACAAAAGAAAGAGAUAAAGCAAAGAUGGCAACUACUACAUACAAGGCUCUUUUAGGGUGGUACGUAGCUGGUUGUGAGUAACCAUGUGGUCAAGGGGGUCUCUCCAAGACACUGCAACAAAAAAGAGGAAGAAAUUAAAAAGUUGAGGUGGAAGAUAAACACUGGGGUCGUUACUAAUACUAACGCUACUAUGGCUAGCUACUACAAUUCUUUGUGGUCCACACCAGAAUUCGUCCUCUCUUUAAUUUCUGCUUUAAUUUGUUAUCUUAGGGAAAGACAAAAGUGAUGAAGAUUGGCGAUCCCGAGGUGAGAGUUUCCACUAGACUGUGUUAAACAAACCCACUUUCCCUUUUAUAUAUACUUCAAAGUUCAAAGUACAAUUGUGAGAGACGGAGAAGAGGACCAUCAUUGUGAUGUUUGUGUCCAGUUCAAUAGGAGAAUCUUUUUCGCUGUCUCUCUCGUUUUCUUUCAAAGCACACACCCCAGAAUAACGUUCACACGGCAAUCUUGCUAGUUGAUGAAACGUUUAGGUUCUACAAUUGCAACAUUUUGAAUUGAAUGUGCAUAAAUAUUCACGCUGUGCACUGCUUUUUGGUCACUUUAACGCAUUGUAUAUACAUAUCAUGUGGUGACUCUUAUUCUUAUAGGUGAACUAGCUAGCUGAGUAGAUUAUGUAGUAGGAGUUAGUUGAAAAAAAAAAUAGAUCCGAUUUGAAAAGGAAGAUGUUCAGGAGUUUGAUCCAUUCAGCUGAUCGUAAAGUUGGAUUGAUAAAGAAUCGACAAGAAAACAUAUAUCCGACACUAAGUCGAAAAAAAAAAACUUGCCCGACCAGUUUUUGCAUUAGGUUUUUUUUUUUUGUGUUUUUAAUAUAUAAAAAAGUACUUGUAAUGUUAUAUGAUCCCUAAGUUCUGUUUUGUUGUGACGAGAGAAUUAGAGCUAGUAAAAAUAAAACAAAAAAAGAUAAUUAGAGAUAUUCACAUCAGAGAACACUAAGAAGAAAGAAUACGGAACUUUAAUUUAAAAUCACCAUUAACGUCUUUUUUUAAUUCUAUCUAACCAUGAAUCUAACAUGAAUCAUGUAACUCAUUUGUAUAUAUACAUAGUGUCCUCUGACAAUACCAUCACCAUCCAUGUGUGAUGAUCUUAUUGACCUCUUUUUACCAUGUCACUGUGUAAAUGGUAGGAGUGCAUGAUUGUGUAUGUUUGACAUGUCAAAUCGUGAUGUUUCUCUGAUCUUGUGAUCGUCACGUCUUUAGAGUCCUGUUCCAUAAUAUACUUUCCAUCAUUUUAUCUUUUUGAUUGUAUGUUAUUGGGACAUCGCUUCGACUACCCAAUAUUUGGGGGCUCUAUCUUGGUCAAUAUAAGGCCUUCCAAGUAUUGAGUCUCUCGACUAAGUGCCUAAAGGUAAGUAGUUCCACCUACUAAGGUUAGUACUCCCGGGAUGUCCAUUUUGAAUGGUGUACAAGAGAAAAUAUGAAUAGAGGAGAAAUAAAAUAAAAAGUUUAGUUGUUUGAUUUAAGAAUAAUAUGUAAAAAAAAAUAGAAUGAAAAUUAAAUAGUAAAAUUGUUUGGUUUGAAUAAAAUGAGAAUAGAAAACUUCUUAAAUUUAUAAAAAUACUACUAUUAUACCCUCUAAUUAAAUGAGAUGAAUGUUACAAAAAAAUUAAGAAUUUGUGGGUCAGCAUUGGACACAAAAGUAAAUAUACAUCCUCCUCGUACUUUUGUGACCUUAGUACCUUCACAUCUAAGACAAAAAUUUAAUGAGUGAAACCCACUGAACCCCAACUUAAUUCCAGCAUAAAUUACCUCUCCAAAACCUGCGUACCCAUUUUUGUCUGUGCCUCACUUCUAAAUCGUUGCUACCAAACACAACGCUAGAGAAAGAUAGAGAAAGGAGAGAGGAAAAAAAGUAGAUAUAAUAGAUGCUGUAGUUUGAUGUAUUAGGAAGAAACUACAAACUUCUUUUGAGAUAUUUGUUGAAAGAUCAUUCUGACUGUUAAUUUUUAUUUUUAUUUUUAUAGUUGAGUAGUAGUUUCUUGAGCGUUCGGUGAUUUAUUUCUCUUACUUCUUGUAACUACAAUUUCAUUUGGUUAUUAAUUUCCUAUUUCUAUUAAUGCUUUUUUUUUUUUGGGGGGGGGGGGGGGUAAAACCUGAUCCUUAACACCUAGAUAAUCUACUAAAUUACCUUACCCAUAAAAAAAAAGAAAGAAAGAGAUAUACUAUAUUCUGGUUAUACUGUUAACCUAAUGGGUGUUUGGUACGAGCUAUGAAAAUCUUUGAUGUCUGAAGAUGAAGCUUCAUGAUAUAAGUUAAUACUUUCCUUUCAUAUACCCAAUAAAUUAAGCUGGUAGACGCAGUCAAGUGGGCCCCAUCUUAAAUAUAAAUGAUAUGUGUAUAAAUGCACUAAAAUAUAUUUUUGUUAUAUAUAAGGAUUCCAUUUUCUUAGUUGAACCCACCCUCUUUAACUUCUAAUCUCAUUAUAUGUAACUCUUACUGUUACGGACCCAAACAGCUUAUGUCAUCUGAAGCAACAAUGAGAACCAGCAAGCUGGGCCUAAUGAGAACAAGGAGCCCAAACAAUAGAGGCCUCAGUGUGGCUUAAAGCCUAUGUGAAGUUUUAAUCUGCCAAGUACCAAUAACAAUAUGCAUUAGAUAUUAGUUCUUACAAUUCCCUUUCUAUUAGUCUCAGAUCCACGUGGCCACUAGUUUGUUAGAAGUGGAUAUUUCCAUCUAUAUGUAAGAAACUUAUCAAAGGCAAAAAAUCAUUACCUGAAAUUUUAGCUUCUCUUAGUUUUUCCUUCUUUCUCUUGGAGCUACUCGUACUCCAAAGGAGACUCAUACUACACAGUAUCACUUACCCUUGUUGUAUUCUAUCUAGUGUUUUGUCUUAGUAAAAGAAUAACCAGACUAUAAAUUUCUAUAUGAACAUGUCGUUUAUCUGAGUAAAAUAGAAUUAGUCGAAUUUCGUAGAGAAAGUCUCAAAUUCGAAACUUUUAGUUGAAAAAAAUGAUUAAAAAGAAAAAUCCUACUAAAAUAGAAUAGACAAUUCUAUGAUAAAUAUUAAUCAUUAAUAAAUAUUUUAUAUCAAUGUCACCAUGAGCUUAAAAAAUAGACUAUAUAUAGAUUUUUAUUCGUUUACCAUUUUGCAAGAAAAUAAAUUAAUCAUAUGGAUAUGAUAUGCAUGAUAGCUGGAAAUUGACUACGAAGAGAAGAUUUAAUUAAGACUUAUUCCAUUAUACCUAUGCUCUGCUACGUUUUGUAGUAACCUCCGCUGCAAGUUGUCACUCAUUACAUUACCAUUUUUUUGUUGUUGACUACAUCACCUUACCAUAUUCUGCCCCAUUAACAUGGUCAAAACUAAAUUUAUUCUAGAUUGCAUCGUUUUUUAACUCUUAAUUUUCCUUGUUCAAUGUGUGUAUAGUUUGACACAUGUCCUUGCUUAUUCCGAAAUGUUUAUGCUGGUUUUCUAUUAUCUAGAGUUUCAAAGACAGAAAGAAGCCAAUGUUUCACGAAAACAGAAAACAAUGCAUGUGAAAGCAACCCAACAAGGCAAAACUAAUUGGCUUACUAAUAAAUCGAAUGUUCUUAACGAAAUGUUGCCAGCUAUAUAUGUGGCAUUCACUAAACAACAAGAAGGGUGCAAAGACUAUAUAUUAAAAUGACCUUGAUGACUCCAUUUGGGUUAGACAAAGUUGAAUUCAAUUAAUAAAGAUGAGUUUCAAGAACAGUCCUAAAAUUCAGCACAUAGGAGCCUCUCCAAACGUGUCUCGCCAAUCAUCCACUUCUAGUUUUAGGGACAAACAACAGAAGAAUGUGGAGCCACCAAGCCCUUUACCUGUUGGAUGCUGCAGAGGCUUCAGCAUUGCCAAGACUAUUGGGUCCCCUGCCUCCACAUCACAACAAAAUAUGCAACAGUUACAAUACCAAAGACUUGAAGUAAAGGUAUGUUUCAUGCAUUUCAAGUAGUGCACAACUGCACAUACAUGUAUUAGUGCCAGAUUGGUUUCAUGUUGAGAAAUUGAUUCUUGAGUUUAGGAUUAAUUUUGGAUACAUUUUUACAUAUUUGAUUUUACUUUGGACAAUUCAGAAUUCAUUCUGAAUUCAAAAUUGAUUAUGAGAUAUCACAACUUUAAGUAACUUUGCAUUGGAUCCAAAAUUUUAUAUUAAAUUUUAUUUUUAACUUGAUUUUAUAAUAAAAAUAUUUAAAUAUAAAUUACAUCACUUCAAAAUCAAUUUUAUCCAUGUUCAUCUAAAUACACAUUACACUUAUAACCUAAAUUUAAGUUUUGCUUCAAAUGAAUAUAUCAAUGAUUCUUCCUGAUUCCCUUAAAAAAAUAUUCUUCCGGAUUCAAGAGAUUAAUCUGAAAAGACAAAAUUAAUACAUGUGCUAGAAGUCUAAAUUUACAUGCAUUACUUAUAGGUAAUACAUAUAGUCUAAGGCGAACGCGUCCAAUACGUGCGUUCUCUUUAAACCAACCUAAGUCUGCACAUCUCUGUAAUAAAAUAAAAAAAAUGUCUGCACAUCUCUACUUGGUUGAGCAUAUAAAUUUAAGAAAGAGAAAAAAUAUGGCAGAAUGAAAACUGUUUUUAACCAAAAUUGUAAAACAACAAAAUGUAAAUGGCAUUUGGUUUGGUUGUUUUUUACUUUUAUUUUCACUGAAAAUAAAAAAUAGUGAUGAAAAUGUGUUUGACUGGAUUUCUGUUUUCAUUUUCAGUGAAAAUAUUUUUUCAAACGAACCAAAAAAUAGAAACAAUAAAAACUUGUUUUCCAUGUUUUUAGUUGAAAUCAGGAAUUUCAUAUUGGGUAAAAUGAAAACAUGAUGACAAGAAAUGUAAUUUUAAGCAAAUCUAAAAAUACAUUUUCUUUUGAAAACCAGUAUUUUUAUUUCUUGAAAAUAGAAAAUAAGAAGUUAAACCAAACAUAUUUUCAGAAUUCUAAUCUUUUAAAAAUAAAAACAAGAAAUAAAAACAGAAAAUAAAAAUGCAAACUAAACACACCCUAAAUUUUUCAUCUUUCAGUUCCAUUUCAUUGUCAAUCACCAAAGCAGACUUUAUAAGCAGAAAUCAAGAAGGACGCACAAGUUGCUGCAGUAUAUAUACUAAUUUCUUUUGAGAAAACUGAAAUUAUUAAACUGGUCGAUUAAAGAAGUCUAGCCAAACUUAAAUUUCUAUAAUGAGAAUCAUAACACUUUUAUGUAGUUUUAAUAAUGGCUUUGAAGGAAUUAAUAAUUAAGAUUGAUUAGAAAAUUUUCGUUUUUGUUAGGCAUCUCUUUGAAACUAUGUAGCAUAACUGAUGAUAUAUUCUGUUUAGAAAAACUUAUUUUUAAGAGAAUUUAUCUCUAACGCAACAUUUUUAUUGAAUUCAUUCAUAUCUCUCAUAUUCCAAUAUAUUUAAUUUUCAUUUUCAAUAUUAUAUAAAAUGCAACAUAUGCCAAGAAUCAAGAACUAUAUUUACUUUGACUUAAACAAAAAUAACUAAAUUUACUUUUGUAAUAUUGGAGUAUUAAAAUCGGCCGCGGGGUACACGGAGUGGAGAAUAGUAGGGCCGGAGAAGGUGUUGGAUGAAGCCUGCGAAGGCUAUUGGGCUGAAAGAAACUAGGCUAAUUAAUGCUUAAUUUUUGGAGUGCUAGGUGCACCCUGUACUAAUCACAAAAAGACAGAAAUACUCCUUACGGAUCAAGUUGAUCUGUAAGUUAAUUUUUAAGACUUACAGAUCAAGUUGAUCCGUAAGUCUUUUACGGAUCAAGUUGAUUCGUAAGUUAAUUUUUAAGACUUACGGAUCAAGUUGAUCUGUAAGGGGAGAAAUUAGCAGAGACAGUUUUGUCAUUUUCAAAAAAUACUGGGUGCACCUAACAAUAUUUUAAUUUUUGUGGCAUUGCAUCAUGUAAUUAUUUAAAGCACCCCAUUAUUUGAUUUGAUGCACCAAAGUGUAUUACAGAUUGAAUAAUUUGUAAUACAACAUAAUGCAUUUGAGAUGCACCAAAGUAAAUAAUGGGGUGCGUUAAAUAAUUCCCAUUGCAUUUGGAUCCAAAAAUGGACCAGGAUUUGCCUAGUGGUUUAAUACAAUAAUAACUUAAAUACUAAUGACAAUAAUAAAAAUAUCAUCAGAUAAUUCUCUUAAUGAAAAUACUAAUUAGAAUUGGAAUUCUAUCUCUGCAAUUAGUAUAAUAAAAGUUUGCAUUUAAAAAUUAUACAGUUUUCUAAGCUAAAACAUAAAUUCCGAUUGAAGAAGAACAAAAUAACACCCAAGAUAUUGUAUUUAAGUUUUGACCAUUAAAAGAAAAAAGCGUCUGAAAUAUGUGUUCACGCCUGUUCAUAGGUGGCGGAUUUGGAAAAGAAAGUGCAAAAACAAUCAGAACUACGAGUAAUGUACAAGAAAAGAAUGGAAAGGACUCAAGAUUACUUGAGGAACUGCCUUCAGAUAGCACAAGAAAAUGGAAUAUUAGAUGUCAUUGUGAACUGCAAAGGUGAAUUUCAACAAUCUCCAGUCUCUAUCCACACCAUAAGCUCCAUUACCAGCCCUCAAAUUCAAAUUCCCACUCCACCACACCAUGGCCACCACACCAAUCUUGCGUCCAUCAUAGAUCAAGCAAAAAUCAAUGGAUGGUAUAUUGAUCCAAAUGAGGUUAGUAAGUAGAAUUCCACUCACAUGCAAAUCAUUCACUUACAAGUUACAAUGCGUUGUCAACAUUUUUUUUUCAAUUAAGUAUUCAAUAUGUUUCCAUCUCCUUGCUUUGAUUCUGUUUUUUUUUUUGUUUUUUCCUUUUUUCAUAAAUCAUCAUGUUUGCUUUUUAUUUCUUAAGUUUUGAUUUUACAUAAUGUUUGCCCCUUCUGAAUGUUAGAACAAAUAUAAGCUAUUAAAUUAGUGCUGACAAAAUAUGUUAGAUCACCUGAGUUGGCUCAAACUUGGUCGAUAAAAUGUAAUACUUAGAGUUUUAAAUUUUUUGUCUCAAUUAAACAUGUUUUUUUAUAUUGCCAAAAUGCCCAAAAAAAUUCAAUUUUUACCAAGCUUGAAUUUUUGCUGUUGUUUCAUGCAUCUCUAAGUUACUUACUGCCCCUUUUUUUUAACUUCUGGAAUGUAAAAUUACAUUCCAAAAUGAUGACCAAUCCCGGUAAAAAAAAAACUCCAAAAAAGGUACAGAAGGCAAAAAGGGUACAGAAAGCAAGAACUAGACAAUUUUUUUUUUAGCCUACUAUAAUCCACAAUCAGUAUUGGGCUGACCUCCAUUGGAUUGGAAACUCUGUAACACUUUAUUUUCAACACAUUCUAUUUUAUUUGGUGAAAUUUAUGUGAGUACUUAUUAAAUAUGUGAGUUACAUUCUCCAUUUGUUAUAUCCCAUGCCCAAACCAGAGGAAUCUACAUUAAUUUUAAUUUUUUUUUAACUAAUAAAGGUGGUUUUGAAAGAAAGUAUUAAAAACUGUAUUACCAAUACUCUUCUCAAAACAAUUAGAUAUUUUUUUAUAAAAAAAGAGCAAAAAAUGACAUUUCACAAACAAAUAAAUAAUAAACUAAAUGAAGAAUUAUAAAAAUUGUGAGAAUUGAAUUAUAAUUUCUGAAAAAUUAGGCAAUAAACUAGAAUUUGAAAUAUUUAAAAUGAAUAAAAACAUAUUAAAGUGUUGAAUUAAUAAGAAAAUAACUGCUAUGUUAUGUUAUGUUAUGUCUGAACUUCUCCAUGCAUAGAUUCAACUGGAAGAGAAAAUCGGGCAGGGCAGCACCGCAGAAAUUCACAGAGGAAAAUGGCGUGGAUUUGAAGUGGCAGUGAAGUGCAUAUCCGAAGAAUUUUUCCGCACUAACCAAAACGGUGUCGCAUACUUCUCCCAGGAGCUCGAAACGUUGUCGCGGCAGCGCCACAGGUUCGUGCUUCAGCUCAUGGGCGCGUGCAUCGACCCUCCCCGACGCGCGUGGGUGGUCACAGAACAUCUCAGCACCACGUUGAAGGAGUGGCUGCACGGGCCCGGGACCAGGCUCAGAGAGCGAAUGGUGCCACUUCCACUCUUCAAAGACAGAGUCAUUAGGGCCCUUGAAAUAGCCCAAGCCAUGCAGUAUCUGCACGAGCAAAAGCCCAAGCUCGUUCACCGUGACUUGAAGCCUAGCAACAUUUUUCUUGAUGAUGCCAUGCAUGUUAGAGUCGCGGAUUUUGGUCAUGCGCGGUUCUUGGGUGAUGAGGAAAUGGCUCUCACUGGAGAAACAGGUAAACACUGAAUGUCAUUUCUUUUGCUGCAAAUUAAAAAUAAAUAAAACGUUAUGAAAAAUAAUAUUAUAUUUUACUGUGAUAUUUUCGUGUUUAAGUCUCAUUUUAAAAGUUCAGUAUCUUGUACUUUAACUAUUUUAUCCUCCAUCUCAUAUUGUAGUUUUGAAAACCCAUUUAGAAUGUACUUAGAAAUAUAAUAGGCAAAAUUGUAAAAUUAGUCUCCCACUUUAUCUUCAAUUUCAGAUUUGGUUUCCAAGUUUUUUAAUUCACGAAUUUAGUCUCCCUAUUUUGUAAAAUCGUACAAUGUUGGUCCCCUGGGUCACAAUUGGAUGUUGACGAUUAGCAAGUUAUGUUGACUGUCACAUGUCAUGUUCUGAUUGGAUGUCAAUUCCAUGAAAAAUGAAAUGCAUUGUUGUUUUCAUUGACCAAUCAGAACAUGACACGUGGUCGUCAUCAUCCAAUAAGAUCAUGACACGUGGCCGUCAACAUUCCUUUGUAACAGUCAACGUCCAAUUGUGGCCUGGGAGACCAACAUUGCAUGAUUUUACUAAAUAAGGGGAUCAAAUUCGUGAAUUAAAAAGUUGGGGGACCAAAUCUGAAAUUAGAGAUAAAGUGGGGGACCAAUUUUAUAAUUUUGCCAAUAUAAUACAAUGAGAUGUAAGAUAAAAUAAUAAAAAUGCAAGAAACAAAUAUCUAAAAACUGGCUUGAACUUAUUUCAAGUUUUUUCUAGCUCAAUCCAUUGUAAUAACUUUCAAUCAACAUCGGACUCACUUGUAUUAGGUUGUAUUCCAUCUUAGUAUCUCUAAUGCUUUUUCAAGUGUUUGUGUUUGGUCAUAACCUCAUUGUCAUUAAUACAUGACAAUUUGUGAUAAUAAAGAAAUUAGCCAUAAAGACCAUUUUCACCUACUAGCUAGGAUGUUUGAAAAUCAAGUUGUACAUUUUUAAAUUUUAGAUGAGUAUUAAAUGACAUAAAGUUGAAUUGUGUAAACUAUAUUCUUUCUCCUUUUCUCAAAACGUGGCAUGUAAUGAUAUUGAUUAUGUUUGUAUUAUUUUUAGGAACAUACGUGUACAUGGCACCAGAGGUGAUCCGAUGUGAACCUUAUGAUGAAAAGUGUGAUGUGUACAGUUUUGGGGUUAUGUUGAACGAACUUUUAACUGGACAUUACCCAUAUGUUGAGACAGAAUAUGGUCCCACCAAGGUAUAUAUAUAUAAUCAUCACACUGAUCUUGAGUUGCCAAAUUAAUUUUGUUAAUUUUUUAUGUAAAUGUUUAAUUGAAUUGUUUAAUGCUAAUCUCAAUUAAUCUGAAAUGUCACUUGAUGUUGAUUAUCAUGAAAUUAAAUGUUUGAUGUUAUAAUAUUAGAUUGCCAUUGAAGUUGUGGAGGGUAACCUGCGACCUAAGCUUCCGUGUGAUGAUGUUGGCCAACCGAGAGAGCUUAUUGACCUUAUAUGCCUUUGCUGGGACAAAAAUCCAUCUACUCGACCAUCUUUUGCUACAAUCACCCUUUGCCUCAAAAGUUAUGCCAAGAAAAAUCUCCUUUAAAUUAAACCAGUGCUUAUUAUAUUUAAUUAAUCAAGUAUUAGCCACCAUCAUGACCAUUGCCUCGUUACCUUAAUUUGUAACUGAAACAAUUAAUUAAUGAUCAGAACAGGAUUAUUGUGUUUUUAUUUUUCAUUUUUGCAUUCAUGCAAUAUAAUUUUUUGAAUCUUGGUACGAAUCCUCAUAGUUAUAGUAUUUAAUGAGACCUAAUACAUGUCAUGACAUUUGAAAAUGUGACUUAGUUAACCACAAAUAAAACAUAUAAGGUUGAUUGAAUGAUUUAAAAAAGAAACAACAAAAACAUUAUGGGUUUGAUUUCUCCUUCUAACAAAAAACUAACAAUUAAUAUUUGUUAAUAAAAAGCCAUAAGUAAUAUGAGAGAAUUUUAGGUGGGUUGAAUUUGCAAAUUUAUUUCAAGCUUUUAUCAUAUUAAUUUGAAAUAUUUUUAACGUUGAUUUUAGCCAAUAAAUAUAUAUUUUUAAUGUUGAUUUUAGCCAAAAAAAACCACAAUAUAUAUAUUUUACUCGUUGUGAGUUUUUUUUAUAUAUAUUUUUAUUAAACUAGUAGCACUAUACUUUCAACUUGAUGACUUGAGUCACGUUAAAAUCUCAAUUUAUUUGUGUUCGAUAUUUUAAUUAGUAAAUAAAAUAUAAAAUUCAAUUUAUAACAACUGAUUUUGCAUGGAAGAACGUAAGGAUGAAGAAUGAGAUUUUGCACUUGUAAUGAGUUCUCUUCCUUUCUCUAUGUAGCUGGUUCUAAUGUUAGGCUUCCCUAUUCCUAUGGCCAGCUAAUUUUCUAGCUAGGGAUAUGAUGUAAAGUGUACAUGCAAAACCCAUAUCUUGUUGCUUUGAUCUCAAGUUCAUUACAUUGUUAGGAUCAUCACGUUCGAAGUAUUGUCUUCUUUGACGUUGGUUUGAGCCUCGUGAUUUUGUCCUACAUUAAUUGAAUUCUUGUUGUUUCGACCUCAAGUUCUUUACAUUGUUAGGAUCAUGUUCGAGGUAGUGUCCUCUUUGACGUUGGUUUGAGCCUCAUGAUUUCAUCCUUAAAAGGCACCUUAGAGGCUUAAGGGAUGAGGGUGUUUAUGAACUAUCCUUAGUAUCAAUUUCAAAGCGAUGCGAGACUAUUUUUGUGUAUCAAAAUAUUAGUCCCUAGUCCAAGCUAAGGGGCUAGAGGGCCUAUCAACCCUCAUAUAUGGCUUAGGCCCUCCUUCUAUUAUCAAUGCUUUGAUCUCAACUCUUUUACAUCGUUAAGGUCACUGCAUCUAAGUCAUUGUUUGUUUUGGCGUUGGUUUAAGUCUCAAAGAUUUGUCCUUAUAAGGCACCUCAGAGGGUUAGGGGAGGACGAUGUUUAUAAAAUCCUUAACUUCAAUUCCUAAGUGAUGUGAGAUUAUUUUGGUGUACCAAGACACUUGUCUUUAUUCAAUCAAUUAGAUUAUCUCAUUGUUUUAAAUUAUCGCUUGAGAUUGAUUACUCUAAGCAUGUGUAAAUCAAUUAAUCAAUGUGUGAUCAUACCUUAGUUGGUUGAUCACUACUAUAAAAAAGACAUUUAACAUCAGUUAAAAAAGUCAUUUAACACGAGUUUCGAACUGAUAUUGCAUCUAACGAUGUUGAAAAUUGAUUACUCUCAACAUCGAUUUUAAAACCGAUAUGAAACACAUUUCUACAUCGAUUGUUACUAAAACCGAUGUAGAAAGUGUUUAAAAAUUUGUAAACCUAUUAAUCAUCACAUUGGUUGUGAUCUUAACCAAUGUAGAAAGAUAUUUUUAAAAAAAAACAUGGUUUGUUCUUUUUAUUUCCUUCCCUCUCCCUACACCAAUUGCAUGCGUCAUACCUACAAUAUGCAUGCAUAGUGUCUAAUGAUAAAUUGUAGAUUUAUUUUAUUUAUUCACCAAAAGGCAGUUUGGCUUAAAAUUGAUUUUUUUUUUCAAUUACAAAAAAAUGUUGAUCACUAUCUUUAAUUGUCUUCUGGCUUUUGCAACCCUUUACAUGACUAGAGGUAACAAAUAGUCCACAAUGCACAUUUAUCACUUUCUGAAUUUAGUAGAUGUAACAUUUUUUAUGAAUGGGCACACGCACCAAUAAAACAUAUAUGAGAGUGAAUGGACAUGACAUGUCAGAACUCAAAGUGCAUUUCUCACUUAAAACUGAAUAUUUUAUAUAAAAAAAUACACAAAUUUUCCCAACCACUACAAUACCACGAGUUUUUUCAUCUAGAAUUUACUGCUUCCCCCAAAGAAAAUUUCAUCAUACAAAUUAUAGACUGUAGAAUAUUCUUUUGAAUGUAAUUAGUUAAUAAUGUAAUAAAUAAUCAAUUUUUUUUUUGUAACAAAGAAAAAACAAACAAAUUCAUCCACCAAUAAAAGCGGCAUAGAAUUUAUGGAAGAUAAAUUCAUGGAUGAUUUGAUGAUCGAUGAAAGGUAAAUCUAGUAAAGAAUUUAAAAAAUUAUAUCAACUUACUAAGAGUAAUACGCCUUGUGUGAAUUACACAGAGUAUUCUAUCUUCAAACAAGGGAACCAAAUAUUCCUCAGCAGCCUGCGGUAUGGUUAUAUAAAAAUCCAAAAGAAGGUCAUGUUUUAUAAGAAAUAUGGUUAUAAAUUACACAACAACGCUAUUGAGAAGGACUUGGUAUAAGGCAACCAUAAAAAACAUCAGAGAUGUAAAUGUAGCAACUGGUGAGACACAUUAAAGGGGUACAUAAGAGUUCAUUUGGAUGAGGGGUAAUUUUGAGAGGGGCGGAGGAGCAAAGUACAGGUCAGGAGUAGUGCUCCUUGCUUGGGAGUAAAAAAUUUAUGGAAAAGAAGGUAAAUGAGAGGGGGCCACUUGUCAUUAAACUCUACUACCCCCCCCUCCCCCCCAACUUGGGAGUUGAUAAAAGGUAAAAUUGUAAAUGACGAUUCCAAACAUAGCCAAGUUGUUGAAAAAGUAUUAUGAAAUUUACAUGGAUGGAAUAGUAAGAGAAUAGAAGCAUUACUUGCUAUCUAAAGAAGCAUGCAUUGCACUAGUGCAUGUGUGUUACUCAACUCUAAGGGUAGCAAAAUAAAGUUCACAUUCUUAAAUGGUUUAAAAACAGUCAACAUUCUCAAUUAAUAAUCACCUCAGGAGAUAACUUAGUUGGAAGAGCUCUGAGACAUGCAAGGGAACAAGUUUAAACCCUGCAAUACACUUUGCAACCUUUUCCACUCCCCCUCCCUUUUGGAGCCACUCGUAACCUUUCCCUCUAUGUACUAAAGAAAGAAAGAAAAAAUUCCAAGUAUGCCUGUCGAAUUCAUAAAGAUUUAUGAAAUACUAUUGCCAAGUCCUUGCAUAAUUGAUAUAUUAAUAUUGUAAUAUGAAUUAAAAGUUAAAAAUAGAGCCUUCUAAUAAAACAUAUAUCACUUGGAAGUUUGAUGGAACACCUCUUAAGAAAUAGACAAGUUAAUAUUAUUCUCAUUUCACUAAGACUGUAGAUAACUAAAGCAUAUUGUGUUAUACUAAAUGUCUAAAAUCUCAAUUUUGAAUAGUCAAUGGGUUCUUCUAUAUGUAGAUUUGGUAAUAUUUGACAAAGUUUCAAUUAUUAAAUAAUCAUGUAAAACAUACAAAUAAAUUAAACAAACAAAAAAAUUGGACAACAGUAACAUUAAGUAUGAAAAUUUUAAAAGUUCAACUAGGAGAAAAUUGAAACAAGCCACGUUUGCACUAUAAUUAGAUGAAUUGCAAAUUUGCAACAAGCACCCUAGUGAUAACUCAAAUGAGCAUGGAAAAAGUCGCAUACCUCUUGAAGUGCUACCACAGCUUCAGGUGUCCAACGAGACACCUCCGUAGAGAAUUGAUUUGUAAUCUGUUUGACCUAUAGCCAAAAGUAAAAAUAUUACCAAGACAACAAGAACAAACUUCUCAACAGAUUUAGUUCAGCCAAAUCAAAUAAUAAUUCCAUAUAGAGCAUGUUCUUAAAACACUUUCAUCAGUGAAUAAAUAAAAUAGCACCCAAACUAUGAUGCUCAUUUUUAUGCCUAAGUUUACAUCAAAUAAUGUUAGAGUGAGAGAAGCUGCAAAUGAAGAAUUAUGAAAAGGGCAAAAUUUAGAUGCUACUACUUAAAUGAUUUUGGAGUUGUUCUCCAAUUAGAAUUGAUGUUUCAUCUCAGUAACCUACACUAACAUUUAAUGCAAACCUUUAUUAUGCAUAUUAUUGUGGUGAAAAUUCAAUGUACCAAAAGGCAGCUUGAGCCAGGUUAAGUUCAGAUUCCAAUUCCACAAUCGGGUUUUUCUAUUGUUCUAUCUACAAUUGACAUAGUUUCUGAUUUAGUUUGGAUGGUGAUACUCCAUGGUAUUGAGAAGAGUUGAAAUUCAAGUCAUCUAUUCUAUCAUGGCCUUCCUUUGGAAAUUUAACCUGCAAAGGAGUUCCUUGGUCAUACCCAAAUUGAGAUCAUGAGUAAAAUCAUAUAUAUGUUGUGGCUACAAAUGGGACUAUAUGUCAUAUACAUUAUCUUUCACAUUCAAUAGGUGUGAAAGUUGUGACAGUUAUAGAUAUAAUAAUUAACUUAACAAUUACGACAAAUACAAAAAUGUAACCAAAUGCUACAAACUCCAUGGUAGUUUGAUCCAAAACUUUGCUUACAACAAAGGUUGCAAGGAUCUUCGUUAUAAUUACAAAAACCAUACAAAUUUUUACCUAGACAUCUUUCAGGUACUGCCAUUUACACUUGAUUACCUACAACAAACAAUAUAUCAGCUAGUCACAUAAAUAAUUAAUCUUGUGAAAAUUCAAUGCACACAAAUUAAAACUGAACAUCUAGAAUUUGUGGAAAGUAAUGCUUACCAAAAAUAGUGUGAUUGUGAGCGUUGUAGCUCUUUAUGUUGCUUCUCGGCCUGUAGUGGUUCACAAUCAUGGCAGGGAGAGAUGGUGUUGGGUUGAACAGGCUGCAAUUCACCAUCGAAAUGUCAAUGUCCUUUGGAACAACCCCCGUAAUGACCAAAAGAGCGUCCAGGGCGCCGAACAUGACGGCCUCUACCUCCAGACGCGCUUUGCUCAUGCAGAGCUUAGGCGAGCAAGAAGUGAUUCUUCUGGGAAAGUAGGUCUCGUCACCCAAACCCGCCCUUGUGGAAAUCUUCCUCUGGAAUUGGCGAGACUCUUCCUCGAACCCCACACUCUCUUCGCCCAUCUUUAGAAACCCCUCCACCGAUAUUUUGCGUUCUUUCUCUGGCUUGUAACACGCGAAGUCCACCACGUACAGAGCGGCCAGGGAGAGGAGCACCGCCGAAGCCGCCACCACAGUCUCGGUGUCGAGUUGGUGGUUGUGGGAGCAGAGUUUGGAGAGCUUGAGACUACCAGUUACCGAGAACAUGAGAAGGAGGGUGAUGGCUAGCAUCACAAUGAUGGCUACGAGUGAGAGCAAAUCUUCGACGCUUGCUUCAUGGAGACACUGAAAGGUCCCAAAUCGUGAAUGGUUAGGGUUGGGGUUGCAUUGAGUGGUUAGAGGUGAGGACUUAGGGUUAUUAGAAAUAUAAGAUUCACAACUUCAAUUUUUUGAGAUCAAUGGUGAGGGAUCGAUCAAAACAUCCAUUUUUUUAAAAGUUGAUUUUUUAAAAAUCGAUGUAAAUAGGUGUUGUUAAAAACAUAUUUUUUAAGUUUGGGAUGAACUUUUAAGAUAGUCAGGUUAGAAACAUUACAUAAUCAAACGUGUUUUCUAUAUUUUAAUCGGAUUAAUUUUUCUUUUAUUAAUCACUCUCUUUACACUUCACACUUCCCCAAUUGAGAUUCCUACAUGAAUUUAGGAAUUUAAAUUAGGGAAAUAAUAUUAGUGGUUCAUGGUCAAUAAUUGUUGAUAGAAUAUAGAGGAAGGUUUGCAAUUGAAAGUCUAAUUUUGGGGAUUCAGAUAAAACAGACAAUGGGGGGAAUUUUAGGCACUUAUGAAAUCAUAACUGCAGGAUUUCUCAUCACAUAAUUUUAGUCUAUGUGUUUCAUGUGCUAUCUGUUGUAAUUUUUUUCUCCAAGAAAUCGAACAAUCCAUUUCCCCAAAAUUCAACUUGGUUUCACAUUGACUAUUUUUAGAAUUUAGUUGUUUUGAAACCAUUUCUUUUAAGGUAUGAUAUUUAAACUUUAAAUUUAUUAUUAUUAUUAUUGUCUAAGAUAUAUUUUUCCUAAAACACAAUAUCUUAUACACAUUAAUAGAUUUUAAUAUCGUCUUAAAAUAUAAGUAAGUCUAACUUAACUCAAAAAAUUAAGUUAUAAAUCGAAGUCUUUCACUUAUAUAUACAGUAUCUUGAGUAUAUUACAAAUUCAUAUAGGAUUUCCAAUACUUAUAAAUGUCACUUGUAAUCCUUUUUAAGUUUUUUUUUGCUUUAUUUUAAUGAAUUUUAUGAAUGAAUUUAUCAACAAUAACAUUUUUCCAACUCAUUUCAGAAAAGUUCCAAAAUUUAUGAAUAACUUCAUAUUAAAUGAGUGUUUUAAGUAGGCUCUUCGUCAAUGUGCUUCCUUUGUACUUUGUUCAUCUUGUACUUCUUAGUUAAAUCAAAAUAAGAAGCUUUUUUUUUUUCAUGAGUUCACUACUUUGAAUCCAGGGAGCAUUAUUUAAAUGAAGCUUUGAGCCGAUUGUUCAUGAAACAAUGGUAGGGCGUUCAUUUAAUUGUUUAAUUGAUGUUAUUGUUCUUAUUGUUUAGAAUGACUAGUCCUUCCAAUAUCUUUGUAUUCUAUACAGCAAAUCCCCACAUACUCUAACACCAUUUUACAAAUGAAAACAUGCAUGAUAAUAUGCAUAGAUUACAAGAAUUGAAUGUGCUCUCUCAUGAUUAACUUUGAAGUUAAAUUUGGACUGUACGAUCCAAUAAUUUGAGGUGAAGGUCAGAAUGCAAGAGUUUUUGUUUCCGAUUUCAAGUCUAUUAUAUUGUUAAACUCGCCACAUUUGAAGUAUUGUCCUUUGAUCUUAAAAGAUGUCUUCAUAUCUUGAGGGAGAAAAAUAUUUAUAAACUAUCAUUGGAAUUGUUUGCUAAGAAAUGUAGGAUUUUUAAUGUAUUGGAACAAUAGCUCUCGGUUCAGAUUGAUGGAAUUUUGACACUAGAAGGAGGGCUACUCUUCCAAUACAUAAAAAAGAAAAGUCUCGCAUUAUUAAUGAGUCUGAGAGACUAGAGAUAGUUUAUAAAUAUUUUAUUUCCUUAACCUAUUAAGGCAUUUAUGAAAAACAAAAUUGUGAAGACUCAUGAGAGUCAAAGCGAAUAAUUUCUUAAAUGUAAUAAGCCUAACAAUUUAAUGAACUUGAGGUUGGAACGGUUUCUCUCCAUCAAUGGCUUGAAAUCUUAGAGAUGAAAAGCCAUGCCAUGUCCAGGAAUAAAUCUAGCAUUUUCUUCUGUGUACACGUGAGUUUCAUUUUGCAGCCUGCAACAAUGAUUAAGAAAAAAGGAAGUCAAAAUCCAAUAAAGUGAUGAACAUGUUAAUAUCAGCAUCUAAAUUGUUCAUUGAAUAAUGUUCUGACAAGAGAAUGUUAACUUGGUUUAUCAGGGCCUUAAAUUUUAUUUAAGAUUUUUGGGUUUGAAUUUGAGUUGCAAGUACUUACGAUUGGUAAACAGUUUUGUUCAUAGUUGUAGAUGAAUGGAACCAAGCACCAUUUAGAUAGAGAAGUUCCCCAUCUAUUCUUGCUUCGAUUCUUCUGUCCAUUUCAUCAGCGCAAAUCGAUAGUGGUUGGUCCGAAGCCUGAAUUGAAAGCAUAAAACUUCUUGUGAAUAAUAUUUAAGAGUACUUCAUUUUAGUCUCUCAUAUUAUAUAUAAAAGUGAUUAAUAUAUUAAAAUUAAAAUUAAAUUGUUUGAAUAUUAUUCAAUUUCUUUGAUAGAAAUAAUUUUUAGUUGAUUUUUUUUUACUUCUCAAUCUUUCAUAUUAGUUAGAGUCUAUUUAUAAAUCGGAAAGUUAAAAAAAUAUAUAAUUAUUUUAAUACAUUAGAUAUUUUAGUUAUCUAACUUUAUUUAAAUUUUAUUUUUAAUUGUUGGCCUUAAAAGUUUCAUUCAUGUUAAAAAACAUUAAUUAACAUUAAGAAUAACAGUGAAUGAAAUUUUUUAAGUCACAAAGUAAAUUAAAAUUUUAAGGAAUUCGGAAAAAAAAAAUUGACACAUGUAAUGACAAUAACUUGAACAAGAGUUUAGUGGAGUAUUUAAUUAUAAGUACAAAAAGAAACAAGGCUUUUUUUUCGCAUACCAUAACCCAACCCCAUGUGUCAGCAAAUGAUGGUACAUGAGUCGUGUAUGCAAUCACAUCUGCACCAAAAAAAUAAAACUUUAGUUUCAGCUUAAAGACAAUAUCCUUGUGCUCUGUUAAUUCUGUUAAUGAUAUCUGAAAUUCUUUCCCAUAAUAAAAGACUUGAAUUAGAUAGUCUUACAUUUGAAAACCUGUUUGACUGUGUUAUAUAUAGAAGUGAAGACCUCCUUGUGUGUGAAGAUACCUGCUGGUCCAGCCUAAGCACAAAAUGAAAUGUUUUUAUUAAACUUUAUUGAGUAGGAGAGUAGAAAAAACUCUCUAAUCAUGACUUAAAAAAGGUGGUUUCUUCCUGCACCUAUGAGUUAUUUCCUACACUUUUUUGGAAAUAUUUUUUAUCUUUUAGAUUGAUCAUUUCAGAAACCAAAAUUUAGAAUCAUUUCGGAAUUUAAUUUUAUAUUCUAGAUUGAUCAAUUUGAAAGUAAAAAAUAAAAAAUAAAGUGCAGGAAACAACAGAGUCCUUGAAAGGGUGUUACUCAUAUUCAUAAUCUACCUACCUGGGUCACAAAAAUGCCAUUAUCAUUGAGCUUGGGCUUCAGGAUCUUCUCGUAGAAGGAUUUGGUGUAGAGUUGAUAGCAAGGCCCAUCUUCAAGUGGGUCUGCCAAAUCUCCAACGAUGAUAUCAAACUUCUCCUUUCUUUUCUCCAAUUCAGCCCUUAAAAAAUGAGACAUAUCAUUGGACUAUAGAGAUAGUUUAUUUAACCUUGUCGAGGAAGAUAGAUAUUAAUCUUAAAAGCUUAAAAUAAAACCUUUAAUAAUUUAGUGAUAAAUAGAUAUAUAUUUCAUCUUAAAAUUUUGAAGGCUAACAAAAUUGAUUCUAUCCAACACUAUAGUUUUGUGGUAAAAAAUAAUAUAUAAAUGAAAGGUAAAAUGUCAAAAUCAUUACUAAGAAAAGCAAGUUACACUUACUUGGCAUCAUUAAUGACAAGGUCGAGCUUCUUAUGAGAAAACGCCUCCUUAUUUGCAAUCAAGUAUUUUCGGCAGAAAUCUACCACCUCCUGCGAAAAUUAGAAGUUGAAAUUCCAUUGACUUUAUUUGAGUGUCUUCAUCAAUCUUAAGAAUAGGAUAUAGUGUAAAUUCUUGUUGUAACGUUGACAUCUCAACUUAUCAAACAUUCACUUGUUACUAUAAUAAUUUAUACACUUCCGACAUUUUUUUUUUGUGAAAACCAACAAAAUUCAAUAAUAUUUUAUAGUUGAGUGCAUAUAUAUAUAUAUAUAUAUAUAUAUAUAUAUAUAUAUAAAAUAAGAUAAAAUAUGUUUAGUUACUGUAUUUUCGUUGAAUUUUAUUUUUAAUCUCUAAAUUUUUAUAUUGUAAUCCUUGAACUUUAUAUAUAAAAAAAAUGUGUUUAGUCAAUUCUCACAUAAUUCUCUCAUAUGACAUUAGAAGAGACUAAAAAUAUGUUUUUUUAUAGAAUUUUAAUGACUAAUUACAUGAAGACUAAAAAUAAGAUUUACAAAAAAAAAGUAUAGGUAAGACAAAUAUAUUUUAUAUAAGUUUAAUUAUCAUUUAGUCUUUAUAGUUUUUAAAUUUAUUCCUUUUAGUUUAUAUAAUUCAUAAGUGAAUUUUUUAGUCUUUAGGGUUUAUAUUUUAAUUCUCAAAAAAAAUUUAUCGUUAAAAUUUUUUAAUUAAUGAAGUUAAAAAAAAUCUAACAACCAAGAACUUUUGAUAAUUAAAAUUUAAACUUCAAAAACUAAAAAAUCUACAGAGAUAAGUUUAAAAAUUAUAGAUACUAAAUUCAUAAUUAAAUCUUUUAUAUAUUAAAAAAAUACACAUUGAUCUCUGCCCAUAUUAAUAUGGAUAUAAUUAACGUUUGAAAUUGAUGAACGGCUAAGAAGCAAAAUAAUAUGGUAUGGUAGUAACCAACCUUGUCUAUAUCGCACAUGACCACUCUGACCAUUGACCUGUGCUUAAGGGCUUCCCUAGCAGCAGAACCUUCACCUCCCCCCAUUAUAAACACAGUCUUGGGACUGCCAUAAUCAUUAACAUAUGUCUCUUCAUAUUAGUGAAGGGUUCAUAAGCCCAAUAGAGUCUACCAAGAAGCAUAAUCAUGUAUCAUGUAAUAUAUAUAUAUAUAUAUAUAUAUAUAUAUAUUCGUUACUCGGCUUGAGUACAUGUACCAUUAAGAAAACUAUAUGUUCAUUCAUUUAGGUGCUCUUUAGAUAAAACUUUCUAUAAAUAUUUAUAGGAAAAAAUAAAGUUUUUUAAUAAAUUGAAAUUAACUCAUAUAUAGGUUAAAAUAAUUUUUUUGGAGAAAAUAAAAUAAGAAAACUUCUACAAAUUAACUUAUAUAUAAGUUAUAUAAGUUAAUUUUAAUUUAUGUGAGAAGUUCAUUUCAUUUUUGUAUUAUUUUCUUCUUCCAAAAAUAUUUAUUCAAACAUCGCCUUGAAUUGCUUCAAUUUCAUAUUUACAACAUUUUUUAACUAUAAAAAAUUAAAUAAUUUGACCAAUUUUUUUAUUAAUCAGGAGGGUAGUAAAUAUAAUGAUCAUGGGAAAAACAAAAAAUCUCCUUUUCUGUAGUCCACGAAAAUUAUCCUUUACCAAAAUCCCAUCAUUAUAAAAGCACUGGCGCACGCCCGUUUACGCAUACCUACUGUAUAUAAAAUAAAGAGAGAUCAAACUAUGUGUGAACUUGGGUAUAAUAUUUAAUGCAAUAUUUAAUACUUUUAGAAAAUAAAUAAAUUAUUUAUUUACAAACCAUAAUUAAUAUAGUAUUAUCAUUUCACCUAAAAAACAGGUUUCGCAAAGGCUGGACUCAAAACAUUAUGUCAUAUUUAUCAUUUGGAACUUAUAGCAUUUUCAACAGAAUGGGUUUUUUAAACUUUUAAAAAAUACUUAUUAUGCAAUUUUAAUAUUGGAGUAAUUGGCAUGAUAGUGUUGUAUAUAUAAGCAAUCUUAAUGGUUUUCAAGAAGUCAAACAAUUGUAUAACUCAUUUUAAAUAUUUAAGAAUUAAGAAUUGAUGAAGUUUUUAAAUUCCAAGUAACAUUGUAAGCUUUGCUUUAAAAAAAAAGAAGGAACAUUGUAAGCCCUCCAGAAAUGAAUAUUAAUAAACUCAAACAUCAUUCAACCAUCAUGCUCUUACUUAGGAUGGCAUAAAAGAGGUGGAUGAAUCAAGCAUUCAUGAUAAAUAAAUUCGUCCGUUUCAGCACUCUGCAUCUUUCCAUCAAGCACCAAGGCCUGUAUGCAACAUCAACAAUUAUCAUCAAGUUAGUAACAAACACUUUUUUUUUAUAGUAGUUAAAACUUAAUAAAAUUGUUGAAGUUUAAACAUCAAAUAAGACCUGGAAUUCACUUCAUCUGUGUAUAUUAAAUUUCACUCUAACUAAUAACAGAAUACGUGCUACAAAAUGUCUUAAUAUAUAACAUUUCUCAAUAUUAUUUAAAACUUUUCCCUCCCUCUUUUUUCUCAAUACUACAAACAACUAGAAUAGAAGAAAGCAAUUCAGAAUAUCCUAUUUAUUUCUUUUUGUUCUGUCCUUAUGAGAAGAAGAAGCAGAGAUUGCAAACCUUUCCAAAACGCUUUGUAUCUAAGAGAGCUAUGUCCUGGUACUCGCUAAUGGCUUUAUGGAGCACACUGUUGAAAUUGAAAAAAUAAAAAUAAAAGAAAUGCAUUAAAGUAAUGAAACAAAAAUAAAAAUUAUAUCUAUCAAGCAAGGCAGAGGCAGAGCAAAAUGAAAAUGAUAAUAUUUUUUUGUUUGAACCAAUAUACAUUGAUUUGGAGUAGUGAAUUGCAGAAGCAAUGAUGACCAACCUGUUGAGUUUAAAAGACCAUUUUAGAUCCUCAUCGAUGAUUUCCUCGUACCAAGAAGAAUCAUGGUUCUGAUCAUUCACAUGAUGGUUUUGUUGGGUUUCAAUUUCAUGUUCAAACUUUGAGAACCCAUUAAUGUAGAACACCUCUGGAGCUUCACCCAUGUCAGGGAAAAAAAAAAAUAUAGACAACAAAACAGUGAUUUCGCAGAAAUGGAUGAAAAGUGCAAUGUGGUUAUGGAGUUGCAGGGUGUGGCAAUAGUGGGCAGCACUCGCUUUUAUAGCUACCCCAUCAUGAAGAAUGAUAUUAAUUAAAAUUUGAUUUCGUUUACACGUCAUGAGAGAAAUAUUAAAUAAUUUUGUUUGAUUUUUUUUAUUUUAAAAUGAAUUAAAUAUAUUUUUCAUUCUCAUCAAAUUGUCAAAGUUCAGAUUUUGUUCCUCCAAAAAUUUUCAUCCAUUUUUUUUUCACAUAAAAUUAUAAUGUUUUAUUUUUAUAUUUACAUUAAUUAUAUUUGUAUUUUUAACUUGUACAAUAGUAUCUUACAGCCGUUACCAUUCAUCAUAGUACUAAUAAUGUUUGUACUUUUUUUUCUUAAUCAUUUGAUUCUUUAAGAAAAAAAAAUCUUAAUUAAUCUAGAGUUUGAUAAAAGAUAAAUAAAAUUUGAUAAAAAAAUUAUUUUAGUUAAUAAUCAAACUCAAAUAGUAUUUAGAUUAUUUAAUUUUAACUUCAUAUCAAUUAUGCUCCAUCACUCCAUUGAUAAUAAUGCUUGUACUAUUAGAUAUGCUUACAUACACGUCUCUAAUAAUACAAGUAGUUUAAUAUUUUACCAACAACCUGUCAUAUUAUGUGACACUAAUGUAGUCUUCAAAUUCAGCAUCUGGACCUCACCAUUCUCCUCCACGGUUUGACAUAUAUAUAUAUAUAUAUAUAUAUAUAUAUAUAUAUAUAUAUAUAUAUAUAUAUAUAUAUAUAUAUAUAUAUAUAUAUAUAUAUAUAUUAGGUAUUUUAUUUUUUAAAAUAUAUAAAUUUAUUUAUGAAUCUUUUAUUAGGUUCAGACUACACGUGAUGAAUUCACACUAAAUAUUAAAGUUUGAAUUAUACUUGUUACUUGAAAAGAGGUUUUAAUAACAUAUAUCAAUACGUGGUAUUUUUAUAAUUAUAAUAAUGAUUAUAUGUUUCUUUGGUUUUGGUAACUUAAUUUAUCCGAAUAAUAUAGCUUAAAUAGUUAAAAUUUUCUACAGAUAUAUAAAUUUUGAGUGGAUCGUGGGAAAAUUAAAUUUGAAGGUAAUUAUUACAAUUAAAGAUAAAAAAAAAAGUGUAAUAUAUGAUUUGAUUUGAAAAUAAAUCCGAAAAUAUCAUUACUCCCAUCACUUACUACAAUUGCUGUAAUUAAUAUGAUAUGAAUUUUCUUAAAUCAAGUAAUACACACUUGCAUACGGAAAUAAUAAAUGUUAAUUCUUUUAUGGGCGAUUUUGGAAUCAUGUGAUUUUAGAGCCGUNNNNNNNNNNNNNNNNNNNNNNNNNNNNNNNNNNNNNNNNNNNNNNNNNNNNNNNNNNNNNNNNNNNNNNNNNNNNNNNNNNNNNNNNNNNNNNNNNNNNNNNNNNNNNNNNNNNNNNNNNNNNNNNNNNNNNNNNNNNNNNNNNNNNNNNNNNNNNNNNNNNNNNNNNNNNNNNNNNNNNNNNNNNNNNNNNNNNNNNNNNNNNNNNNNNNNNNNNNNNNNNNNNNNNNNNNNNNNNNNNNNNNNNNNNNNNNNNNNNNNNNNNNNNNNNNNNNNNNNNNNNNNNNNNNNNNNNNNNNNNNNNNNNNNNNNNNNNNNNNNNNNNNNNNNNNNNNNNNNNNNNNNNNNNNNNNNNNNNNNNNNNNNNNNNNNNNNNNNNNNNNNNNNNNNNNNNNNNNNNNNNNNNNNNNNNNNNNNNNNNNNNNNNNNNNNNNNNNNNNNNNNNNNNNNNNNNNNNNNNNNNNNNNNNNNNNNNNNNNNNNNNNNNNNNNNNNNNNNNNNNNNNNNNNNNAAGAAUUUUUUGCUAGAUAUCAAUAUAAUAUAAUAUAUAAUUUUAAAGUAUUUUAUAAAAUAAUAUUUAUCUAUACAUAACAUGAUCAUACACCACAGUAUAUUAUAAAUUUAUGAUGUUGAAAUUAAUUUCCUUCAAUAGAAUUGAGACUUUUUUAAAAAAAAAAAUUCAAUUCAUCACUCAAAGAAAUUAAAUAUCCAAUAAGUACUUGUUACAUUAUGAUGUUUGGAAGUACUAUCUUGUUGUACUUUUCGUAUCCCCUUGUAUUAGUAUAAGUACCUCGACAUCUGAAUGCUUAUUUUUGUUGAAAAAUCAUCUUGAUUAUAAAUUAACAUUUUCAUAAAUAAAAUUAUUCACAUUUACAAAGAAUAAUAAAAAUACAUAUAAAAAUUAUAUCAUAAAAAAAAUAAUAACAAAUAUAAUAAUUUAACGUGAUUUGAUACAUUUUAUCUACGUCCACUAAAUUAUCUUAACAAUAUUUCACUAGCACACAAAUGAUUAUAAGAUUAUAACUCAUCCCAAAUAGUAUAUCACUCUACACGCCCGAAUACUCUAUCCAAUAGUUACAAGAAAUGAUAAUACUCUGAUGCAAAAAUAGUUUUUUCCUCAACAAAGUGACUUUGAUUCACAAUCUUUCUUCUCACACUCUUUCUUCAUGUGUUGUAUUUCUCCACUAAUUAUCUUCUCUAUUUAUAGGGAAGAUUGUUACCAACUAUAAUAAAUAAACUCUCUUGAAAGUUCAAACAAAAACAACUUUCAAUGUAUUCAUUCAACUAAGAUUCAUCUAGUAAAAUAUAAUCUUUUACUUUGUAUUUAAGUCAUAUAAACCUUAAUGAUAAAAAUUCAAUUCCCGACCUUAUCUUUUGGCUUAACUCUACAAUUUUUGGGUUGAUUGUGAAAAAAAUUAAUUGCAAAUGAAUGAUAUUUAAUUAGAAAGAAAAAACAAUAAAUCAUUAUUAUAUUAUUACUAUUCUAAUUUUGAUUCAAUAUUAAUAGUCAUUUUGUCUUAAUAUUUAAUAGAUUUAAAUGUAAUUUUAAUUUGUUGCUUUUUAAAGUUCAUAGUUUGUCUUUUUAAUUUAAAAAUAAAGAUAUUUAAUUUUUAUAUUUUUUAAAAUCCAUGAUUUUAGUCAGUUUAUUUUAAAAUAAAAUCAUUUAUUCUCCUAGUUUUAAAAAAAUUAUAAUUUUAAUCCUACCAUUGAGCUAAGGCAUUAAUUAGUUCAUUAUUAAAAAAUUAAUAUUAAUUAUGACAUUAAUUAAAUAAAUAAUUUUCUGUCGUAUUAUUAAAUUUGAACUGCAUUACAUUAGGUUAAUCUCAUCACCGAUUAAUAUUAUGAAUUUGAUGAAAUGAUGAAGGUUUCAAAUUGGAGCGAUUGUGACUUGUGAGUUGUUGGUUUUUUAAUUUUAAAAACAAAACCUGUUGAACAAAAUUGAGGUUAAAAUGGUUUUUAACCCAUUUUUAAAACACUUUUGGAUCAGUUUGGAAAUCCAAAAAAAGAUAUUUCUUUUACAUAGUUUUAAGUUUCCUUUUUCUCUACCCUCUCUGAAAGAAGACAGAAUCCUCUGUCAGUCAUUAUUCCAAACAAGUAACAACUUCAUCUCCGUCGCCGGCCACCCCGCAAUCACCGCCACCCACCCCAGCUACAGUCGCCAGCCACCCCAUCAUCGCCGCUAGCCUGUCCACCACUGCUGCCAACCACCUUGUUACUGUUUCCGACAACCCCUCAUCGCCGCUAGCUACCCCACCACUGCCGCUAUCUGACACUCCUUCAUCCCACACCCACGACUUUCCUUUUUUCAACUAGUAUCCCGCGGGGCCACAGUUGUUGCCACAGAACCAGCCAACAGCAAUGGCUACCCAACGGCUGGUGGUGAUGUGUGUUGUUUGGGGAAUGCUGUUAUGUUACUCUUCUGCCGUGAUAAUGACCAAAUUAUCAACAACUUUUAAAAAUUGAAAACCAAGAAAAUUUAAUAAAACUACAAAAUAGAAACAUACACUNNNNNNNNNNNNNNNNNNNNNNNNNNNNNNNNNNNNNNNNNNNNNNNNNNNNNNNNNNNNNNNNNNNNNNNNNNNNNNNNNNNNNNNNNNNNNNNNNNNNNNNNNNNNNNNNNNNNNNNNNNNNNNNNNNNNNNNNNNNNNNNNNNNNNNNNNNNNNNNNNNNNNNNNNNNNNNNNNNNNNNNNNNNNNNNNNNNNNNNNNNNNNNNNNNNNNNNNNNNNNNNNNNNNNNNNNNNNNNNNNNNNNNNNNNNNNNNNNNNNNNNNNNNNNNNNNNNNNNNNNNNNNNNNNNNNNNNNNNNNNNNNNNNNNNNNNNNNNNNNNNNNNNNNNNNNNNNNNNNNNNNNNNNNNNNNNNNNNNNNNNNNNNNNNNNNNNNNNNNNNNNNNNNNNNNNNNNNNNNNNNNNNNNNNNNNNNNNNNNNNNNNNNNNNNNNNNNNNNNGAGCGUACCUUCCAGCGAUUAUAUUUUGAAAUAAAAAUCACCCCAAAUGGAACCUAAAAUAGAUUUAUUAACAGAUUAAAUAUCUUUAUUUUAAAAUAAAAAAUUAAAAAUAUGUAUUUUAAAAAAAAUUAAAAAGAUUAAAUAUUUCUAAUUUUAAAAUACUAAAAAUUAAAAUUACAUUUAAGUCUAUUUAAUAUUAUCUUCAAUAUAAGAAAAUUGUUUCAUCUAAAAAGAACUAUGAGUUCAGUAUAAAUAUUACAUAUUGCGCUUUUUUUUACCAAUUGAGUAAAAAAAUUCGCUUUUUUUUUUCAAAUAAUGAUAAUAGUUUUUAAAUUAUUUCUUAAGAAGGAAUAACUUGUAGCAGGUAUACAAAAGUCGUAAUUAUGAUUUUAAUUUUUUUUUAACUGAAAUCAUAAAUAAUUUUAUGAUUUCAGUAUAAUUUUAUGAUUUCAGUAUAAUUUUUUUUUAUGACUUCAAAGUUCAAAUUACGAGAUUAAAAAAAUAUUAUGAUUUCAAAAGUCAUAAAAGCAAAAAAAAAAAAAAAAAAGACUUACAACUUGAAGUUGUAAAAAGUAAGUUACACUAAAGUCUUAUUUAGUUAAAAAAAUUAAAGUGUAGAAGUAGUAACAAGACUUAUCUCCUUUUCGAAAAUAAUUUAAAAAUUACCCCAUUUAAAAAAAAAUCAAAAAAUUGCAUCCAGUUGAUAAAAAACCUACAUAUUAUCCAUCAUCCAUGUUUUCCGUAUGAUAAAUAUAAAGAUAUCCUAAUUAUUUUUUAAAACUUUGUAAAAAUAAUUAAUUCAAAUCUAUAAAAAAUAAUUAUAAUUUGAAUUACAAUUUACAUACAGAAAUAAAAAUAUCUGGUAUAAAUCCAUGUAUAUCGUACCUAACACGCAUCACUUGAAUUUAUUUAAAAAUAUAUAAUUAAAAAUGUUAUUUUAGAAAAAUAUUAUAUUUUUUAAAUAUAAUUAGGAAUUCUCAGUUUAGAUGGAUUGAAAUAUUGUUUCACAAUAAUUAAUUAUAUUAUUAAAUUAUUUAACAUAUAAUUAAUUUAAAAAUUAAAGUCUAAUAGAUAUAUAAUUAAUUAUAUAUCUAUAAUAGACAAAAAUAAUUAAUAAUUAAAAUGUUAUACUUUAUAAUUCAUGUUUAAAAUAAAUAAAUAAUUCUUUUUAAAGAUAUAUAAUAUUUAUAUAAUUUAUAAAAAAUUAUAAAUAAUAUUUAUCCAUACAUGACACUGAUCAUAUAUUUUAGUAUAAUUAAUUCAAAUAAUAUCAGUAUUUUUAUCUUUUUUUAUAUAGUUAUUUGAUACAUAUAUUCUACUUUUGAGAUGGACCUUACAAAAGACUCAAUAUGAAAAACCAUGAUACAAUAAGUGGUACCUCACAUCUAUCAAAUUGAGGUUGACCUCCGGUCACACUAAGGUAUGUUGUACAAUUUUGAAAACAAUUUAUAUUUCGGAUUAGAUUUAUUGUUUGUGUAAAACAUUAAUCUUGAAACGUCUCAUUUUGUUUCAAAAUCGUGUUAUUUUUUGGAAAAUAUAACAAAAUUUUGUUUAGGGUUAAUAUGGGUUUGACUAUAUCAAAUGAAAUCAUAUACUCGAAUUGGUGUGAACAACUCAAGUUAGAUUGGGUAUGAUAUAAUUAAUGAAGGCUUUGUUAGCAAUGACGAUGAGUUUCAAUUUUUAGUUUUUAAAUGCAAGUUUUAAAACUAAAUAUGUUAGACAAAAAUGAAGUUGAGAUAGUUUUUAAUUAAAUUUUUGUCACCCACGACGAGUGGCAGAUGCACACGAGCACCCUACUAAGCCUCUAGUGUGUGUUACCCAUGGUGAGUGACAUACAUACAAGAGCAUAUUACUAUUAUGACUUUAGUGUGUGUCAUCCACAACGAGUGAUACACAUGCAAGAUCAUAACAUUAUGCCUCUAGUAUAGGUCACCCAUGGUGAGUGACAUAUAUGCAAGAGCAUACUACUAAGUCUCUAGUACGUGCCACUCUUGGCAUGUGCACACGAGCAUUUUGUUAAGUCUCCAGUGUAUGACACUCACAACGAGUGACAUACAUGCAAGAACGUAUUACCAUCAUGACUCCAGCAUGUGUCACCCACGUCGAGUGACAUAUAUGCAUGAGCAUAUCACCACGUCUUCAGUGCUGUCACCCACGACGAGUGACAUGUAUGCAAGAACACAGUGCUCAAAACCUAGGAUGAACUAUUCCCUGGUCAAUCCUCUAAAGGGCUCGCAAAACUCAAGGUACGCCCCUGGCGAGUCCCAUUGAUUCACACCAUCACGUCUCCAGUACCUGCCACUUUGUAAGAGGCACGUAUACAAGAGCAAGUCGGUACGUCUCUAAUACAUGUCACCCACGGCGAGUGCCAUGUAUGCAAGAGCACAACACUUACGUUGCACGCAAGACUCGUCAUCGUCAAACCCAAGGUCUGGCCUUGGUACAUACUUAUACUAAACUCGAGGCAUCUCCUUGGUUCGCUCACAUACAACAACUAUGACGACCACCGUCAAGAGUCCAAGUUCCACCAAGCGAACUACCACCCCAUUAUUCGGCAAGACUUUUAAUUAAAUCAAAGCCACACUUACUCCUCAUAACCAUCAGGGGAGUACUUCUACAGGUCAAGACGACACACCACCCGAUUGCAUGACAAGGCCUUCAAUCAGGUGCAACUCACACUUACUCCCCAUAAUCAUCAGAGGAGGAACUCAACAGGUCAAGCGGCCUAUCCCCACUGGUUAGCCAAGAUCUUCAACUAGGGGCAAGUCAAGUACAACUCCUCACAACCAUCAAGGGAGAAGCUCCACAAAACAGAAGGAAGACCCAUCAGACGGGUGACAAGACCUUUAACCAAGUUAAAAUCAAACCUCAAAUGACUUCACGUCACUUUACUCUUUACAAGACCACCACGGUCCUACCUCUACGUCAACAAAGUCUUUCUUCCUAUGUUGGCUACAUCAUGACGACCUAUUCAUACUGCUACAAGUAUAGAGUGUUGCAAAGACAAAGGCAAUAUACAUACACACAAGACAACACAGUUCAAAAUUCGUCAUCAAAGGAAAGCUUGUGCAUUGAAUAAAAUGAAAAAUAAUUGCCAUAGUUACAAGGCUUAUGUGGCAUAAUUCCAACAAAGAAGAAAAAAGAUAAAGACAAAGGCAACAUAGACACAGGCAUCAUCGCCUUGCUCCACAGCACCCUGCCUUUCAUCAGCAGCCUCCUCCUCCGAAUCAAUCUCCUUUUCAUCAAGCAGGAGACCCUCCUUCACAUCUUGAAGGGAUUGAUGAGAUCUAAGUCAAGGUCCUUCGCAAAGAAAUCAGCCUACUUGACAGCCUUCUGAAAGCCUUUUUCAUGUUGCUCCACGACCUUCUUAUACAAAAUCAACUCUUCCUCUAACUCCUUGCUAGCCUCAAUUUCCUUGGCAGCCCGCAGCUCGGACUCCUUCAAUCUAGACUCUGACUCCCUCAGCCAAGCCUCUAACUUAGCAAUCCUCUUGGCAAGCCUGUCCUUCUCAGCCACCAUGCUCUCCACCCUACCACACAUGUCCAUCUUCUCAGUCUGUAAGUUCUUGCAACAUCUAAACAGGUCAUCACCAUCUAACCGGGUGUGCAACAACUUAGUCAGUGCACCACCAACCUUGGAAGAUAGUUGGUGAUUUUCCCUUACGACCUCAGUAAAAGCGACAAUGGCAUUGGCCACCUUAGGGAGCUCCACUCGCCAUAGAGUCUGAGCAAUAGCCCUCCACUUGGAGACCUCUGCCUCCAAGGAUGAAAUCUUUUGCACUGCCUCUUGGUGCUGCAGUAUAUUCUCCUCCAAAAUUGUCAAACUCCUUUGGAGAAACAUCUUGACAGAGUCAGUAGCAUUCUGCACCCCAACUGACCUGAUGAGAUUUUUCUCGAAGGUUGACACAAAGCCAAUCAGGGUCUUCUGCUCUGACUUGUAAGUGGCACCCCAUAGUAACUCAACAUCACUGAAGGUGUAUAAAUGAUCGAGGGACACACAAGGGUGCGAGGACGAAGAAGGCAACGCCAUAGCCUCCAAAAUAGCAACAGGGAGGGCCACCAAAGAAGGGGACAGUACCGUGGGAGCACCAGUGGUCACCACACUAACACUUAGUAAAAGGGAUGCAACGGUGGACGAUGACACCACAACAGACUCAACCAGAGUGGCUAACACAACAUCUUCAACAUCAGCAAGAGUAACCUCCUGAAUAAUAGUAGUAGGAGAAGGUGAAUGCACAGGCGUAGCAGGAGUUGCAGCAGCAGCAGCAACAACAACAAGAGCCUUAACUUCCAAUGGAGCUGGAGGCAUAUCUUGUCUAGUCGUGAGGUGACCUGUAGUGAGCCCUAUGAACCUCAAGGCAUGGAGGCUCAUAGGGGUUCUCGACUUCUUGCAUCCAAACGACCCAACGAUAUCAUCCCUCUUUCUCUUUGCAAAAAUAGAGGAAUGAACAUUGGGGGUGACCUCAACAGCAAUAGCAAUAAGGUCAAUCUCACUAGCAAGUUGACCCCUUUCUCCAACAGACAGAGUAGCAGCAAACAGUGGCAUAGUUCCACCUUCAGGUCUGACCUGCUUCACGAGUGGUCUCCAAGAGAAGUCACCCAUAAUACCUGCAAAACAACCAAGACAAUAACACAAACACGUGUUAGACAUUGGCCGACACCAACCUCAAACAACAAACAAGGAUAAGGUUCGACACUUAUCAUCCAAGGUAGCGAGAGGAUCGCUCGCUAAAAAAAGAGACAAGAUGUCCUACACAUUCAGCAAAGUCGACAGUUACUCCAAAAUUGCUUUGCCGACCCACUUUCUAAGGCUCAACAGAUCCUCGUCAUUUGACUUGAACCUGGUGGGAUCAGACUGCCGGUAGAACGAGAAGUAGGGCUCCUCACCCCAAUUAAACAUCAAUGGCUUUCCAUUAGUCAUAACAUCAGUAGCCAAGACCUUAAAGAAUAAGAAGACCGACAUACUAGGCCGAACAUUGAAGAAAGGACACAAAAUUUCAAAAGCCUACACCAUCGCUCAAUUGUUCGAGUAAAGCUGGGAAAAAGCCACAUUCAAGUGCUCCAGUAGAGCACACUGAAAAGCGAUUAAGGAUAAAAUGACACCCAGGACCUCAAACAAACAUCUAUACAUUAAAAAGAAGGGUGAAGACUAUGCGCUUCCCUCGAGAAUGGGAAGUCAUCACUCCCGCAAGUCUGAACGACCAACUUACAGGAGUCCUCAGGGUUCGCCAGCUUCACUUGACGUUGAAGCGCAGUGACACUCGCUAUCAAGGAUAGACAAGACUUAUAUUUCAGCACAUUGUCCUUAUCCCACUCAUAUCCAGCAACGGCCGGGGUGGACGACGACGACCCAACACUCAUACUAAGUCAUACACGGGGAGACAACCUCACAUCUCUACCACCACUAGCUCUUUUCACACCCCCGAAAGCAGAAGGGGGGAGGAUUAUAGUAACCAGGACUGGUUCCCCGGCAACAACAGAAGAUCGUGCCUUUUCGCGAGGGCGAGAAAUGCCUCCACCAGUUUGACGCGAGGUCCUUACCUUCUAUGAACAUGAGGACUCGCUAUCAGAGGCACCUCGACGAGUAUCCUUAGACGAGGAACCGCCUAUCAAGAUGACCUCUCAAUCCAUGAUGGGUUGCUCAGUCGAGUCCCUAGAAUCACUGCCACCUAGCCAAAUGGCGAAAUUAGACAGAAAAAAAGCAUUUGUGGUGGACAGAACUACCUUUGGAAGUUGGUGGAAGAGAAAAAGGAAAUUGAAAGCCAGAAAGAAAGAGAGCAACCAAGGAAGCAAGAAGACAAUGAAAAAUGACCUGAAAUUAAAUGUCCACUCCAUUUAUAGAGGAGAUGGAAUUUUCAGUAAUUGGAGGGAGCUACAGAGAUGCCCUAAAAUUUCAUCCCAUAAUGUUUCCCCUCUCACACAUGACCGUUACUCCAGUACGUGCCCAUUCUGCGUGUGACACAUAUGCAAGAGUACUGCGUGUGUGCCGCACGUGCUUGUUACAACAGAUAACAGUUACGUGUUAUCUUCAAUGCACUCUCGAACAGUAAAAAAAAGGGCAGAAUUGUCAAAUCCAACGACUUACCUUACCUGACACGCUGAAGACACGUCCAUCACAGACUACUUGACAAAAGCAACCCGGACAUCACAUGUCUAGGCUUGGGGGCUUGACAAACUCGUCACCCUCUGCCUUUCAAGAUUACUACCCCAGACAUCAAACAGACUCCCUCAACGCAUGAUAAUCUACUUUGACAUUGGACAACCUCUUUUGCCUGCAAGCUGGCUCAGAGCUUGGGGGGCUUAUGUACUGUCCAAGGCCAAUAAAAUCUAUGUGGCACCCUACUUGGAACUUAGAGACACGUGUUGACCCUCUACGUCAGCCCUGCUAUAAGAGCGCAAACACCUGACCCUUAGCAGUCAGACUCCCCAACAAACAAAUUAUCUCUAACCUAAUUGAUAUUCAAAUGUGUUUGAAUAUUUUAUCUAUUGGCAGGUAUUAAAUUAUCUUUAAUGCCACAUUAUCUACAAGGUAUGAUUAUCUUCUACCUUUAUCUAUAAUUCAAAUGUUUAUAUCUAACAUUAUCUAUAAGUCCUCGGCUACUACUAUAGAUACAGGUCCUAUCGAACCACUCUACAUGACUUACUCACACACUCAGCACACGACAACAAGCUUGUGCCUUUCUCUCUUUCUCUCUUUUGCUCAUACAAGCUCCAUUACAACAUAUAGUUGUUUUACUUUCCUCACACAUAUUUUUACUUGAGCGUCAGAGUCCUUUGUUUUGCAGGUCCUCAUCCUGUCAAAGGCACUUCUCUAAGCCGAUGUGUGAAGUUUGAGACCCCACUCAGCCAUGUUCACCCUGACGUGCCACAGUUCUAGAUUUUGGUAAGAAAAUUUUCAAAAUAUGUUUUCAUCUAUUUUUAGAUGGCACUUUUUAUAAGUGAUCUAUGAUGCACCACAUUUUAUAAUCCUCAAAUUCAUUUCAAGCUUAUGUUAUUACCAUAAACCCUCAACACAUGAUUAUUUCCUAAUCCUGUUAUUUACCUUUAUGUUGUUUACAAUUUUGUCACCGAUGAACCCUUCGUCAUCGUUGACUACACCCCAUCGUCCUCCUCAACAUCACUGCUGACACAUCAUUUGCCUUCUGUUGUCGAAAUAACAUGUCCCAAACUCCUUCACCAUCGCCACAUAAUCUGAGCAAAUGUUCAACUCUGCUACCUCAAAAUCCGACAUUGCAACCACACCUUCUUCAUACACACUCACUUUGAAAAUGAUGUUGUCUUUCUAUGGCAAAAUCAUCAUACGAAAAAUGGAACCACCGAGUUUAAAAGACCUAUUCACAACAAAUCUUAAUGUUAGCCGUGUGCAAUUCUUCAUCUUCAUAUCUAAGAGUUUAUUUUCUUAUUUGAUUGAAAUUUCUUACUUUCAUUCAAAAAAAUCAUAGAUUUUCAUUUUCAAAUCCAUUCCCAAGUGCAUGCAUUGAUUUGGCUCAAUGACUGUUUUGUUUGAUUUUGUGUUAUAGAUUUGUGGUGUGUUAUGUUUUGUUUCCUUCUAAUUAUUUAUUGGUGGAAAGAAAAAAAUUGUUGACUUUUCUAGGUUGUUUCCGAAUUUGUGGCUUGUUUAGCCGAUGUGUGGAUGCAAUUUGUUUUGGGAAAAUUUUAAUUAGGUUGAGUUUCAGUGGUGUGUUGAAUGUGGCUGCAUUUUUUGUGUAAUGUGUGUUGCGGUAGAGCGAGAAGAGAUGAUGGAUCAUGGACCGAGGUUGGAAGCCAAUGAGAGUGUAGAAUGGAUGCCAUGGCCGGGGGGAAUAAUGUGGUGUGGAGGGUGCACUAUAAUGAUGUGGAGCGAAGAUUAAUCCAAAUGUUACAAAUUGUGGUGCAUAAUGGACCACUUAUGAUAGUGAUCCACGGUAGAAGCCGUCCUAUUUUUAAGGUCAAGAAAUUAGAAUUCUCAAUUUGGAUUUUAAUUUUAAAAAACACUUUUCCUACAUUUGAUAAUGAUUCUUUCUCACUAUCACCAAUAUUGGUGUUACCACAACCACCACCUCCAUUUCUAUUGGCACCAUCGUCAUUAUCAUUGUCGUUGCUACCAACACUACUAUCACCAACAUCGUCACCACCACAACCAAUACUAACAUUGUGGUCCUUAUCACCUAUAUUGUUAUCACUACUAUCAUCAUUGUCACUAUUACUAUCACCAUUGAAAUCAAAGUUGCCACCACUGAUAUUAUUGUAACUAGAGUUGUCAAUAUAGGUGAACCAACAUAGCUUGUCAGGACAAGCAUGAAAAAUAGACUGAUUUGGCUCAACUCGUAUUUUACAUGGGUUGCACUUUUUGUGUCUCGGCAUAGCACAUUAACCUAUUGGGUCGACCCAAAUUGGCCAUUUUGCUUUUUCUUUAUAUAUAUAUAAUCAUUAUCAAGCCAAAACAUACUCGAUUGCCUCAUUUCUAUUUUUGUCACAUUUUUUGUUUAGCUUGAAUAAAAUUGAGUUCGAGUUAAAAAAAUUAUCAUAUUAAACUUGAGUUAAGUUUUGAGUCAUAUAAACUCUUGUUGAUUAAAGAUGAAUCAAGUUCAACUUGAAUCAUUUCCAACUUUAAUAACUAUUCACCACACACGAUAGGAUUUAGGAGAAAGGUAUAUGUUCCUAGACUUGUAAUCCUUUAGGGAGGAAUAAUUUACUAUGUAGGAAACCAACAAGGCAAUAUUUGUGAUAUAGGUAAAUUUGAGGCUUUUACAUACUUAGCAUAGAAAAUGUCUUACAUGUUAACGGAAUGAAAUUCAUUAUGCUUAGCAUACAUCAAUUUUGUGAUAAUAGAUUAACAAGGCCCCCCCUAGUUUUUUCGCCUACAAAAUUAAGAAGCAUAAAUUAAUGAUCAAUUAUAUAUACCGUGGUUGUAUUCCUGUUCAAUCAAACAUAAAUUUAAUGAGAGACAAAGAUUCGUGCUUAACAUACAUUUCAAAGUGUAAUCAACUUAAACCAAAUCCACACUUGAGGUUGUAUUCCAAAGAGUUCUUUACCUCACCACCCACCAUUUUCACUCGAGGGAUAAAUAUCACAAUUCCUUCCUUCAUAGAGUAGAAUAGAGAUAUGAAAAACAAAGAGAAAAAAGAAAGUGACGUUCCGUGGGAUUGGUGGUACCAAUGGCGUACUGUAUUGCUGCAUGGUUUGUGGUGGGGUUCACUGUUGGGGACUGUGUGAGUGAGGGAUUUUGCAUUUUCGAGAAGAGAGUGGGACAAAACUUUUUUUUAUAUUUGUUUUGGUGACUGCGAGAAGUAGGAAUUAGAAAUAAACAUAGCACGCGCGGAAAGUUAGGGGAUAUUGGCCCGACAUGUACACGAGGGCACAAAAAGUGACACGCGGAGUACAGUUGUUAGACGUUGAUUGAGUCCAAAGGAAAAUGUGCUGGGGACCUAUAUCCAUUCAUCAUAUUUUUACAUUUCUGAAACUACCCAUUCACUUAUCCCUUGGUUCUGUUGUUCACUGUUGAGGUUGAGGGUGGUCAAGCCAACCUUUGAUAAUACCACCCCACCAUGCCAUCCUAUGUAUGUGAGGGUAGUGGGGUGUACUAUACUAUAUACGUGAGUUCAUAUUCUAAUUUUCAUAUCCUAUAAGAUGACCCCAGUGAGUGGAUGAUAAAGUUAAUCAUUCUAAUUUAAUUGGUGGUUUUGAGUUUAAAUGUUAGAUAUAUAAUUAUCUUAAAUACUUUUUUUACAUAAAAUAAUAUAAGAUAUAUAACUGUCUUAAAUAUUUUUUUACAUAAAAUAAUCUUGUAUGAAAUAAUUAAGACAACUGAAAAUGAUUAUUUUAAAAGUAUAGUACUCAUAUUUUCUCAUAUAUUAAUUUUCAUCCUCUAUUUAUCAUUAGUUAAAAUACAAGCAAAAUUAUGAAUCAUUAUUUAAUAAGAAAUACGACCAACUUCAUUUAAUAUUUAUUUUAUUUGUAAGAAUGAUGUCAGAAGUUUAUAAUAACUCACCCUCUUAUUUAAUCAAUUGAGAUAGAUUUGUUUUACAAACUUCAUCUUCCAUCUUCAUUCAAUUUGUCUCAUAAUCAUAUGAAUUUUAGUUACUCAAUUUGUUUCACAGAAUAUGUUACCUCACCUUAAGAGUUUUAAUUUGUUUCAAAAUAUUUAUCACUUCAAAAAAUUAAAAUAUAUUAAAUAUUUUCAAAUGGUAUUUUUGUUUGUUGAUAUUUUUCUCUAAUUCUUUUAACAAGUUUGUUUGAAUUUUUUUUUAAAAAAAAAAUCAUCAAAAUCGUUUCCAUAAUUAAUAUUUUUUAAAAUGUGUAUAUCACUUUAAAAGAUAAAUUAUACGAAAAAGUAAUAAUUGAAAUAAAAACAUAUCCAAAAAAUGUGUUAUUAACAUUCUUAUUUUAAUCCAAAAGCAAGCCACUGCCAAUUACCAUGGGUGAAAAAGAGAUGUACUUGGAAUGCACCACCAACAAACGCGUCACUUUUAGGGGUGAUAAAAUCUAAACGUGGGCAUAAAAAUACUGUAUAAUUAAAUUAAAAAAAUGAUAUAAAUACAACGUGUUGUUGAAUAUGAUCAGUAGCAAUAGACCAUUAAAAAUUUUGCACGACAUGGAAUAUGUCAUGUGUGGGGCCAUGGAGCCAAUUGUUGUAGUGACAGAUUGAGAUUGAGGAAGGGCUUUAUGCGUUGAGUUGAGCGUGGGUAAACUCCACUAAGGAUUUUGUGGAGAAUCCACUCUUAAAUUUGCAUGUCCUAGUUAGUGAGUACUUACUCACUUGUGUAGUGUCCUUAUUCCUUAUGAUGAGAAGCAUGUCUCUUUUGUGUGCCAAAAGAUUCGUUUUGUUUACCUCCUUGUGUUUAAAAGGAGAUACAUAUGAGAUGAGAUGAAAAACGAUUAUGUCUAAUUAUAUUUCUUAAAUAUAUAUCAGAAAUUUAAUCUUCUUCAAAUAUAUCACUAAUUCAUUAAAAAUUUAUUUUUUAAAACAAAUAUUAUAAUAUCUCAAAAGAUAUUUAAUCUCUAAUUUUCGACUAAUAGAUGUCCUAUUUCAAACAAAAAAAGGAGAUACACGAGAGAAGAAAAUAUUGAUGACAAGUGAGACACUUCUUUUUCUUAGUGGUUCUGAAAUUUCAAUUAACUACCUCACGAUUUCAUGCUUGAAGAAUCUCUCAUGUACACAUUUCUGGAAAUAGUGAUCGGAGGGGAGGUGUUACUGGAAUCAACCGAGAAGAUUAUAGUAACGAUGACAGCAACAAGAUAUUAGUUGCUACGUUGGUGGUGAAGACUUUAUCGAGAUAUAUAUAUAGCAAAGAUGAUAAUCCAUAAAAGAGAAAAGUGGUAGUGGGGAGUGCCAGUAGUAACAGACAGAGCGACAAUAGUGAAAUGAAGAUAAAAGUGGUUUAAUAUUUUUUUUUUAAUAAUGAAAGUGGUUUAAUAUAUAUUGAGAUGGUGUAAUUUAAAACUCUUGUUCAGUUUAAACACUAUAAUAAAAUUAUUUUCUAAAGUCAGCGAUUAACUUGUAGAUAAGCCUUAAACUUGUGUUAAAGGAGUUACACAUGCAUUAUUGACCACUAAGUCAUGCUUAGUUGCUUACAUUUAGGUUAUAAUUUAUUACUAUUAUUAUUGUAUUUAAUAAUUGUGUAUAUACAAUUUUUUCAUUAUUAUUAUUAUUAUUCACUUUGAUACUUUUUUAUUAUUUAUGAUAAAAUAUCUACACGUGUUCUCAAAUUUUAUGAGAAAUUUUUUCAGAUAUACGUUUAUGAAAAAUAAAUGUAUAAUUAUUUUUAAAUUAAAAAUUGUUGAAAAUGUUGUGUUUUACCUUUUGAAAUUGGGUUCUUUAACCGUUAUAUAUGAAAAUAAAUAUCAAUUAUUAUAUUACAGGAAUAAUUUUAUUUAUUAUUUUCAAUAAAAUAGCGUACAACAAUUACUAGUUUAGGAUCAACAUCAUAUGGAAUCAAAUAAAAGGUAUUUAGAAUAAUUAAAUUUAAAAAUUGUAUUAAUUAAGUAGUGCAAGAACAAAAGUUUUUAGCACAUGAUAAAUUUGAUCUAUAAAAACAAUAUUUCUCUAGUAUUUAUAAUAAACUAUUAUGCAAUAGUUAUAAAAUCAUUUUUAUAUUCUCUGAGAACAAUUUUGAUUAGUAGUUUAUGGCAAAUAAAUAUGCUAGAGCGCAACUAUUAGUAAAAAGUAACCCCAUUUGAUAAUGGACAUGUAGAGCAAUAAACUGAAGACCUAACAAGUAAAUGUAGUGUCAAAUUUAUUUGUGCAAUUGGCUUGUGUGAUUUAUUGAAGGAGUUCUUUUUUACCCCAUUGUAUUUCCUAACAAGUGAUAUUUUACUCCAAUCAUAUUUCCUAACAAAAUAGACGUAAGUUUUUACCUAUUGUUAUAGAAAAAAAAUAAAUGGUUACCUAUUAGCUUUUUACUAUGAUUUUUUAAUCAUUAUAUACUAAAAUUACUCUCUUUAAUCCAACAUCUUUAAUAAAUAUUGUGUAUUGUACUUUAAAAAAUUAUUGACUAUUAUAUGUUUUAGGAACCAUUUUAAGAACUGUUAACAAAAAAUUUCCAAUAUAAAGAACUAUUUUAUAUUUAUGUUUUUUUAAAAUUAUAAUUAUCUAUCAAUAAGAAAAUUGUCAAUAGCUAAAUAAAUUAUUAUCUAUUUUAUAUUUAGGAAUGGCUUUAUAACCCUUAAUAAGAGAAUUAUAAGCUGUUAAAAAACUACUCACUCCCCCCAAAAUAAUAGGUAUCAUGGAUUAUCUUACACAGACUAAGAAAAAUUAUAAACAACUAAUUAAAAGUGUUAUUCAUUAUUAAUAUUAUAAAGGAAAUAAGUGGAAAAAAGUAAUUAAUAUUAUAUUAAAAAGUUAAAUUGACAGUAAUUAUUUUAAAAUAUUUUUUUUCUUACACGAUAAUUAUAAUGGAACAGAUGGAAAGUAUUAAUUUUUUUAUAUUUUAUAAAUGGUUUUACAAUUAUUGACAAUAUAAAAAUUGUUACCAAUUAUUGUAUUUUUUCUAUUCUUAUUUAUAAGAUUCAAAUUGAAAAUAAUGUUUAUUUCUUUUUAUAAACACAAUAUAUUAUAUUUUUUGUAUUAAUUAUAUUUAGAUUAUAAAUACUCCUAAAUAAAAGAAGAUAUAAAAUAUAUUAACAAAUAAUUAGAAGAUAUAUGAAUAUUAAUCACAAACAUAAUUUUAAAAAAGUUAUAAAUUUAUUGUUAUCAACUAAAUUAAUUAUUUUUUAAAAUUUUAAUCAAUUAGAUAAUUAAAUCUUAUAUACAGUAACAAAAUAACAAAGAAAGUAUGUUGUAAGAAUUAUUUUCAACCCUUGAUAAGAAAAAUGUUUAAGGUAAAAAAAGGUUAAUAGUGAACUUAAUAGUUAAUAUAUAUUUUUACGAUUUUUAAUUUAAUUAAUGGUUCUAAGUCAAAUUAAGAAACGACAAGUGUACUUAAUAAUAAUAAACAUUGCAAAAGCGCUUAGGACGUGAAGUUUAACGAGGGUUCCUUUAAUUUCCUUGUUAAUGUGGGGAGACAAAGAGUGCAACUGUGCCAGGACCUUUCAAGACAAAUCCACAAAACACAAAAGGUGCUGUGGUUUAUUUGAACUUAAUUUGCAAAACAGCCCCUGGAUCAUUUUCAGGAACUUUAUGUGCAAAUUUCUUUUCAGAUGCAACAUACUUUUACACAAUGUCUCCCUAGAGUCAAUGGGUUUAAUCAUUUAUACACAACAGCUUGCGAAAUUACGAUUUCCAUGCCCUUUAUAAUAGCUUUCCAUUAGUCAAACCUUUUCUGAUUUCACUUUCUUUUGAAAUAUCAUUACUAACAUUGUCUACAUACAUUAGAGAUUAAUUGGUGGCGUUAUUUUAUUUUUCCUGGAUGAAGCAUCACAAAUAUCCUCCAACAUAUCAGUUCAAAGAUUUAUUUUGUUUUCUGCUUAUGGUGUGUAAUUAUUAUUGAUCUAAAACAAUUUUAUACACAGAAAAUUAAACAAAAAUUAUCCCAUGAUUCCUUGUGGUGACACUAUUCAUAUUAUGUGUCAUCUUAUAUAGUUUUUUUUUAAAAUUUAAUUUCUCUUAUUCUACAAAUUCUAUCACGAUAUUGAAUUCAAGUUCUAGCAGAUAAGAUCACAUAGUACAUAAGUUUUUUCUUAUACGGAUUUUUUUAGAUAUUAAGAGAGAUAUUAUGUCUAUGUUAUGCAUACACCUAAAUUUGCUUUGCCAAGCCUAGUCAUCCCCAACCAACGGCCAAAGACUACUUUCAUAGUAUUAGAAAUCACUAAAGGAGACAUGAUCUCUUUUAAUAUAAUUUUUAUACAAAUAACCAAGAGGCAACAAAACAAUUAAAAUAUUUUCCAAAAAAAUCUCGUGUGGUGCCUACUGCCUAUUUGUAAUGUAAUAACAAAACAAUUAAAAUAAUAGGCAACAGGCUUUCAGCAAAAGAUCACUUGUAUAUGUAAAGAAGGCAAUUUUAUGAAAGGAUAAUGCUCAGAUAUACUAUACCCUCAGUAUUUAAUAAUGGAUAUAUUAGCUAUCUUAUUGCAAUCAAACUUUUUUCGGUUCUAUCAUGGCAUUCUUUUAAUGCAUCUCACUUGCUUGUCACCACUUUUCCUUUUCCGUUUAAUUUUUUUAUUACAUCCAUUUAAAUAUUUUUCAGUGAAAAUAAGUAUUCAUGCACAAUAUUAGAAAGGGGAUAUUAGAACUAAAAAUGUGAAUUUAAAACAUUAAUGUAAUUGUCAUUAAUUAGACUUUUAGCUUGUACGCAGUACUAAAAUUUUGCCAUAUCAUCCAUCUCCUCGCCUUGACAAUAAAGGCAGAAUCGAAAUUAAUUUAUUUCUUUUGUUAAAAACAAACCCAAAAAAAAAAACCCUCAAAGUACGAUUGAUUGAACAUUUCUACUUACGUAAGACCAAAUAAAUUAUAUUUUGAAUAUAAACUAUAGAAUAUACAUCAGUAUCUACAAAUUGAUAGUUUGACAUUUUUUUUUUUGAAAGGAGAUAGUUUGACAUCUAUCAACAACAACUUAAUUUGAUUAUUUGAGUAUAAUCUUGAUCGUACUUGAAAAUUGAAUGUCAUUGAUUUUCGUAUCUUGGAUGAUGUCAAUAACAUUAUACAUAUCACAUCCAGGUUUAUCUUGUAGCCAAAACCUGAAAUUCAUAUUCAUUAUUUUUUCCCCUUCUUUCCAACUCUCUUUGUCAAGGAAUAUCAAUCUUAUGACCGAAUCAUCCCAAAUUGAUUGAAUAUUUUCAACUGUUAAUUUGUUCAAGUAAAGACAGAUUAGAUUAAAACAUUUCCUUUAAAAAAGAAAAGAAAAGGGAGACAAAUUCCGGCGUGAUAAUAAAUAUAUCAUAAUUUAGAUCUGCUGUUAAGAAAGAUAAUCAGGUUUAUUGAUUAGUGAUUUAGUUUUCUUCAAAUAAGAUUACUGUGUAAUAUAUACUUUUUAAAUAUACAAAAUAUGAAUCAAGUUAAUAUGUAGUUACAAUUCAACAUUAUAUCAAUAAAAUUCAAACUCGUGAUUAUCGAGAGAAAUAAAAAAAAUAAUGAAUAUUAAUUAGAUUAUGUUUAAAUGGUCACAAUAAAAAGAUAAAUUAAUGUACAAGAAAUUUUUAAAUGGUCAUGUGAUCAUUAAUUUUUUAUUUUAAUUUUUUAUUUAUAAUUGUAUAUUCUAGAUUUAUAAUUUUCAUAUCCUUUGAAUGAGAGUUAUUUUCACUAAGAUCUUAUUUAAUAAAAUUAACUGAAAAAUUUGUUAAAAUCUGAAAAGUUAAUUGAUAGUUAAAAGGUGUGAAGUUUUUAUGUUAAUUUUAUAUGUAAAAUAACAUAUCUAAAAAAAGGUAAUAAAAAAUUAAAUAAAAAAUAUUAGAAAAAAAAAACUAGCAUUUUAGUACUUCAAGAAUACCAAAACAAUAAAUUUACGUCAUACAACCAAAUACACAUGUUCAAGAUUAAUAGUUAUUCAAUGAUGAAAGUCACUUAGUUAUGUAUAUUUAUCUUUUAAUCAUAAGUGUUCAAAUAUAAUUUAAUAUUAUAUAUAUUUUUUAUUUUAUCUUUUAAUCAAUAAUUCUUAUGUGAUGCAAAUAAAUCAAGGAAGAUUAACUUAAUUGGUUGAACAUAAAUACGUGAGUUAUUAUAAAUUCUCAUAUAUUAAUCUUCGAUCUUGAAAGAUAAAAAAAAAUCAUUCAAAUAUGAAUCAUAAAUUUAUCCUCUUUGUCUAUUAAUUCAAGGGAUUUACAAGGAAUAUGCUUGAUGUAUUAGUGUAGUGGUAAAUAAAUUUAAAGAAGACAAUAUGCUUUGAACAAUUCAUUUCCUUUUGGACACCAUUGAUGACUUUGUAUCAAAUAUUGAGCAUUGAGCUAUCAGCGGCAAGCGUGCUUGGUGCCUACUGGUUACUGCCUGGUGUGCUGUCUGGCCACUAUGUUUCUUACCUGUCUCCACUGCCCAAUAUUGCUUUUAUUUGAUGCCUCUUUCUCUUUACUUCAUUCUUCAAAAAAAUAAAAAUAAAAAACCAAAAUCACAAAAUGUGUAACGGUUCAAUUUUUUCUAUAUCCAAAAUCUUUUAAAGUUAUCGACGUGAGAACAAUUAAUUUUCAAUUCAGUACAUUAGAUAUGCAUGUAAUCUUUGACCCAAAAACAAAACAAAAAAUCACAAAAUGCGCAUGACACCACCAACAUACGGGGACAAACUCAUUGUCUAAAUUCUUGCUUUCACUGUGAUGGCUUCUGUUGCAUGCCCUUAGUGCUCCUCGGUGCUCCCAAAGUAAUUUUACAUGUUUCAUGUUUCAUGUUUCCUUUUAUUUUACUUUUUUAAAAAAUUGUUAUCUUAUUGAGUUGUUGAUUUUGAGUGACACGCCGUCAAUUUGUCUCCACACACACGUGCUGCUAUCUUGAUCUUGAAUGAACUUAGUUUUUCAAUAAUGCAUGCUUAGUACAAAAUUAAGCUUCAUAGACGAAAUUUUGACGAAUGACGCUGCUUUAUAUAAUAAGUUUUUUUUUUUUAAACUCAUUUGGAUGCUGGAUAAAUUAGGUAAAGUCAUGAAUUUGAAUUUUAGCAAAGCAUGUGUUUUAUUUCUUUCGUACAAUUUUUGUGACAUUUGAGACUAUCACUUUUUUGUUAUGUACAUGCAUUGUGAAAUAGAAAAUGGCAAUAGUCAGUGGUCUUACAGCUACUUGACAUUUGACAUUGCAUACAUAAUAAAUACCUUAUAUUAUUCAUUAUAUAGCNNNNNNNNNNNNNNNNNNNNNNNNNNNNNNNNNNNNNNNNNNNNNNNNNNNNNNNNNNNNNNNNNNNNNNNNNNNNNNNNNNNNNNNNNNNNNNNNNNNNUUAGUUACACUAAUUUGUUUUUUUUUUUGUCAGUGGCAUUAAUUAGUUUUAUAUAAAUUGACAAGUAUUUCACACGUUUUUCAAUUUUUUAAAUUUAAAAAUGAUUUAAAUUAUAAAUAAAACAUGUAUAAUUAUUAAUAAUUCAUAGUCUUGAUAUUGAAAGAAAAAAUUAACAUCAUAACAAAAUUAUGUUAUUACUUUAAAAUUCUAAAAUUCAUUGGAAUUCUAAAAAUGACAUGUUAUUUGUUGAGAGACAAUAAAUUAAAAAGAAAGUCAUUUUUAAAAACUACUCUAAUUCAAUAUAGUUAUAUUGAUAAAAACAAAUCUUAUCAUUUUUAGAACCGAUUUAAGUAAGUGAGAUCUAAAAUAAAUUUAAGAUUUUUUUAUUUUAAAUGAAAGAAUUAUAUGUUGAGUUUUUUUUUUUAUUCAUGUGUGAUUUUUUUGCUCUAUACAAAAUAAUAACAUAUAAUAUUUUGUUAAUGAAAUUAAAGCUUGAAUUUUAAUAUUAUCCUUAUCAUUAGAUCAACCCUAAUCAUUUUAUUAGUAAAUAUAAAAUCACAUUCCAUCUUCAUUUUACACGUAGUUCCUUCCAUGUACAUGCACAUGCGAUGCUUUCUGAUGCAUUAGGGGACGAGACUAGAGGAAUGACAGGUUCCUUCGUAUGUAUAGUUCUUGUUUGCCGAUAAAAGAAUGUAUAAUUCUCAUUUUCUGUCUUUCUUUUUUGCUUUCUUAUCGUCAUGUAAAGAAAAAAAAAUCAUCUUUAAAAGAAAAUAAUAUGUAUGACAAUACUCACAUCUUUUAAGGAGGGUGUAAUCCACUAAAAAAAUGUUUAUUGCUUAUUACACAACCAGCGUAGAUAAAUUAAAAUUAAUGAUUAAUCAAUGUGACUUUUGAUGUAAUGUCAAACUUGAUAAGAUUUAAUUUAAUCCAAAAAAAUAGUGUUGGUCAAGUAUGGCAUGUUGAAUAAAUGUUAAAUCACAUUAGGGUUUUAGCUAUGCCAAUUACCCAAAUUAGAGGGUGCAAUCUGAAGGAGUGAAUCGGGACUGAGAUGUUUGUAAGUUGUUGGUCCGGACACUACAUGAUCUAAAAAGAAAAUAUUGAUAAGAUUUAGAUUUAGAUUUUGCUAUACCUAGCUUUCCUCAGAUACCAAGCGUCACAAAUUUCCUUAAUGCAAGAUAUACUCACUGUGAGUGACCUCACCAUCACCCCUCUUACUUUUGUUCUCUUUUCUUUAUUGUGGUUGUGGGAAAUUUAUCCAUGAAAAAUAGAAAUUGGCUUUCCAUGACGACUUGGAUGAAGUGCUUGAUGUCAACUUUGAUAAGGUCUAUUCCAUUACAGAGGUCUCCUCGGACACCAAAUAAUCACUAUGUUUGGUCUCUAAUUGGUCACUGUUUCUAAUAAAUAUAUAAAAGUGACCAAAAACAAAGAAUUUGGCCUUCCAUGACAUGGACCAUCGCAUUUUUUCAUUCCAUUGAUUUUAUAGUGCCGCCCAGCCGAAUAAUGCAAUUUGCAAUUUGCAAUUAAUUAAUAAUUAAACUCUUCAAAUUAAAUAGUUAUGAUGACCGUUAACGCGUGCUGCUUUGAACUAGAAAGAGAAGAAUGCUAGCAUAGCAUCUACAAAAUAAAUGAAGAACACACUAGAUGUAUUCAAGAGCAUAAUUGGGACCGAAAAUGAUUAGGGAAUGAACCAUGCACCUUUCAAUUGCCGUCCUUACAGACAUUGCAUCUUAAACAAGUGCCCACUAAUUUCUUCAUAUAAAUAAUUUGAAAAAAAAAAUAGUGGCAAUAUUCAAACACAUAUUUUAAUCUGUUUAUGCAAAUCUGUUUUAGGUUAUAAAUUGCUUGCCGUGCCGUCCUUACUUAAAAACCCUUAAUUUUAAUGUCUCAAUCAGAUAAUCUGGUUAUUCAUGUGAUGCAAAAUGGUUCCCAUCCUACAGCUAUGCAACAAAAACAAAGAUCUGUGUCGAGGAAAGAUUGUAAGCCAUUAUUGUACUAUAUCGGUCGAUUUUGUUAUUCUUAUAUUGUACAGCUUUAGAGUGUACCAAUUAUCAAGCAUUAAACUCUAUCCUAGCAUCAAUUCGAUCAAAUACACUUAGACUUAGAUUUCGCUUCACAUGCAGGAGAAAUUAUUAUAUAUAAUAUGAGAUUAUGUGUUUAUAAUUUCGUUUAAAUUCAUAUGGCUAUUUUUUUUAUGACUGCUCAUAUAGUUAAAUUUUAUAGACUCUUUUAAAGUAUUAUUUGUUUUAACUAUAUAUGUAUUGCAUGGAAAUUAACUAAGACUACAUAUGAAAACAUUUAUAAUAAUUUUUCAGACACAUAAGUUAUGAAGAGCAAACCGUACUAUAUAUUGUGUCUAACUGUCUUCUCUCUCUCUUCCUCAUUAACAAUCUGAGGAUUUGUGAGAGAACAAAAUUUAGAAAUAGUUUAUUAAAGUGAUUUUCUUAACGUUUUAAAACUUAGAGUGGUAAUUGAUCAUCUGAUAAAACCCUAGUUCACAGUUGAUUAAUUCAACAGUAAUUAAACUGGGACCGAAUGGCUAGUGAUUAAAUUUUUAUUGUUAAUAUUAUAAUAUUUUAAAUAAUAGAAAACAUAAAAGUAAAAGAAAUUAAGAUAUAAAAUUAUAAAUUAAAAUAAAUAACUAGUUUAUAAGAUAAAAAAACUAAUGACAUUGGAUAAAAUAAUUUAUACAUAUGUAAUUAUGUAUAAUUCUUAAAUACAAAUUUUUAUUUAUAUUAAUUUUUUUUUACUAAAUUAAAAAUAUAUAAUUUAAAAAAAAAAUCAGUUCAAACUAGUUUUUUUCGUCAAUUUUUUAUUAGUUUGAUGGGUUAUUUGCUGGUUCUCAUUAGUUUUAAGAUGACUUAGUUAUUUUGAAAUAACUAAACUGAUCACUAUAGCGAUUCUUAAUUGGAUCGGUCAAAUAUGCUAAGUUAAAAAUAUGGCAUAACUUUUAAAACGAUAGUGCUUUGUAUUAUUUUCUAUCAGAAGUGAACCUUCACCUAAAUAAUUUAUGUAAUCAAAUUAUAUAUCUAGAUAAAAUUUUAAAUUUAAUUUUAAUUAGACAAGAAUACCAAAACACUAAAACACUUUUAAAGAACUGUCCAAGUUAAUUUCGUUAGGUACAACGCCAAUUCAACGAAAUGAUUAAUUGGACAGUUACAGCUAAACUGUAAGAGCAAAUUCUGUUCUUCAAUGGAUAUUUUCUAACCGUAAAGCGCAGAUUAUGACUGCAAGUCAACGACAUUUGUUUAAGCUAAUGUUUUUAUGUUCAAUUUCAGCUACAACAAGUUCCUACUUAAUUGAUAAGCAAUAUAUUAAUUAAACAAAUUUCUAAAUUUUUAUACUAUACAUCCUUUUAAUACUUCUCAUGAUUACUAAGUCAAGAAAAUAGAAAAUAUGUUAUACAUUUUUAAAAUAUCAAAAAUUAAUACAUAUUGUAUUUAAUAUUCAUAUAUAAAAUAAUUUUAGAAAAAUUAUAAAGAGGAUUAUUUAACGUUACUUGAGUAUUCUCUUUGGACAAAUCUCAUUUUAAAAAUUAUUAAAAGCACACGCAGUAGGAAAGCAAAAAACAACAUUUGUCGUAUUCUUAAAUAACGUUAUUUAUAUCAUUAAUUCUUACGCUAUCAUUUUAGGUACAUAACAAAAUCAAAAAACACAUUUCAACACAAUAUAUUUUGAUUAUGUUCAAACAAAAAAAAUGAUUUAGGUUUUUUUUUUUUUACAAGAAUGAUGUAGAAAUAUUAACAUGCAAAUAAAAGUGCCUAUGAUUUAUUUAAUUCUAGACAGCACUUCCAAUAUCAGUAUAUAUGAAAGAAUAAAUAAACCAAAUGAUGAUAUGAGUUUAGAAGUAAAGAAUCUGAAAACCAUCAUUAUCGAAAGGAUAAAGCGCAAUAACAGUAUUUAGGAGCGAUGAACACGCAUGUCAAAAGCAGAACUUGUGUUAUUGCUAUUAUUAAAAAAAAAAUGCGACGGCCAUAUUCAUAGGAACAAAGAGAAGCUUGAAUUGAAGAAUGUUAAUUAGGGACUGAUUGAUUUGGACUUCUUUCAUGUGGGCGUCGGCAUGCUAAUUAAUUUCAAAUUCAUGAAUACUCAUCUGAAUUUAAGUUGAAAUUGAACCAAAAAACUAGUUUUGGUUUAGUUUAGAUUUAAAUUUACUUCUUUUGUUUAUUUGUAAAAGUGGAGAUAAGUUGAACUUAUUUGAAAAUGCAAAGAAUAUUUUAAUAUUAAAAAAUUAUUAUGAGAAUAAAUUUUUCUUAUAUUUAGUAUAGGAGAAUAAACUAUUUUUUGAAAAUAAAAUAAAAAUUAAUUUUUAUGUACUAUUAAUAUAUUAUUUUCCAUUGUAUACUAACAAAAAGCCAUUUUAAGUAAUUUUUACAGUAACUAUAAAAUUAAUAAACUUAUCAUACAUGAUCAUUCUUAUUGGAUAAUAGUAUUUUUUUUUGCAAUAUUAGUAUAUUCUAAAUAAAUUCAAUUAUAUAUUCUAAGAAAUGUUAAUUUUUGGUUACGGUUAUUUGGAACUAAAAUUUAAAAAAUGGAUAUAAAAACAUUGUUAGAAAUUACUUUCCCAUGAAAUAUGCAAACUAAAAUACUAGUUAAUAUAUACUUAUUAAAUUUUCUCAUAGCAAGUGAUAGUAAAUAUAUUAUUCUUAACAAAAUUUAAUAAUAAACAAACUCAUCUUUUAAUUUUAUUUCUAGAAAAUCUCCUUCUCAAAAUAUAUUAUUAAUUUUUUUACUAAAUGCCACCUUAGGAAUGUAAUUAUCUAUCCCAUAAUCUUAAAAUUAUUUAUACACCAUUAUUUUCUAUAUUUUUAAAAACAAUAAUUAAAUAAUUUAAAUUAGUAUAAUUAAAUAAUAAACUAAAAGCACACAUACGAUUACCAACAUAAUUUAAUUACCAAGUUUUCUAAUUUUUAAAACUCUAAUUAUCAAUCAUUUUUCAUAUAUUAUUUAAACAAAAAAAUAUAGUCAAUACAUAAUUAAAAUAAAGGAGGGAGUGAAAUAGGUUCCUCACUAAUUUCUUCAACCUCUUGAAAGAUUAGUUAACUUUAAAUAUUUUAAGAGCACAUUUCUUUCAAUUCCGAUUUUAAACUCAUUCCGUCAUUAGUGGGAGUAGAGUAAAUAAAACUUAACUAGUUAAUUAUCAUGACUAUCUAGACUCCUUGUGGCAUUGUUCUUUUUUUCGGUGACCGCUGAUGGCGGAGUGUGAAAAUAAUGAGUAAAAGUCAGAAAACAUUUUGACAUACAAACAAUAAAAGGAAGGAAGGAAAGCAUACCUGUCUUAACCAUAUGAACUGGAAGUCACUCACAAGUCAUAACCAACUUUGGUGCAGAUACACAACCAUGAUUAGUUACUUAUAUGUAAAUUACAGAAAAAAGAGAGAAAUUUGAAAUAUAAUAAAUGAUGUUAUGAAAAGAGAUAAAUAUAUAAAAUGAUAUUGUUGUAUGUGUAUUAUAAUAUCACAUAUGUAAAUGUAAUUUUUUUAAAAUUAUCAACCAAUAAGGCCCAACAUAAUUGAUAAACAGUUAGGUUUUUUAUACACGUUAUCAAAGGUUCGAUUUCUAGUUAUAUGUAUGAAGAUUUUGUUGGAAAAACCAAAGUCCACCUAAAUGAUUUCUAUGCCUGAAAUAGUUUCUAACUAUUGAUUUUGUGAUAAAUAUCUUCGAUGUAAAUGAAAAUAGAGAGGGAGAUACUAUUAACCUAUGAAGCACGGAUACCCUAGUCUUUUGUCGUAUUUGGUGUUCAAUACGCGUUCGAGUCAGUGUCUGACACCGACAUGACACCCGUACUACGUUUUAUAUUUUGAAUAUUACAGGUAUCCACAUAUUCAUGUCUGUAUCGUGUCUGGUGUUCAUGUCGGUAUCGGUGCUUCAUAGCUAUUAACACUACCAAUUGUGCUAUUGACACUACGAAUUGAGAUGAGACUAUCUUUUACCCACUCACCAAAUCCUUACACCUCCUGACCCUAGCCUAACUGUGAACCAAACAGCGACGCACUCUUCAUAGUCGAGAUUGAACCAAAUUGUGCCACAUCACCAUUCCCUUCAAGAUCCGAUAGCAUAGUCUCUCGCGCAACCCCACCAGGGGUGAUACAAAUUUGAAGAUCUUGGCCAGAACGACGUCGUCAAAUCUUAGCAUAACCUCAUUCCAAAAAUAGACUUUCCAUAAUGCAAUUGAAAGUCCAGGAAGCACUAGGAACGAAUUGGGUUUUCCAUAAUGCAAUCAGAAGUGCAGAAAGAAAUAGUGGAAAUGCAAGAAGCAACAACCCAAUAUAAGGUUCGGAUGUGGAUUCUGGAUCGAAGGCAUAGGGCCCAGUUGUUGUUUUCGUCCUAAUUGGACCUUAAAUUUUUUUGGGGCCAGUCCGGAACAUAUACGAAAGUUUCACUUUUGGAUUACUUUUAUUUGAAAUUAAAUUUAUAGCUGGUAAAAAAAAAUAUAGAUUUGACAAAAUAAACCUAUAAUUAUAAAUCUACAUGAGAAAUCAUUUUUAUUUUUACUUUUCAAAUGGUUCUAUAUUUCAAGUUUAGUUUUGCCACGAAUGCAAGGGCAAGAAUAAGUCAGAUAGCAUGUUAAAAUUGAUUGCCUAUUGUGACUAUAUAUGCAUUAAAAGGGGCUUUCUCAUGUGAAUGAAAAAACUAAAUUAUUUACGAUUUUAAAAAGUCACAUGACUUAAAUUUUGAUUAUUUAUGGAUGAAUAAUUGUAUGAUCCAAAUUUACUCUUCUCUCAUUCAUUUUCAUAUAAAAAAAAUACUCUCACUAGAUAUAUUCCUACUAUAUAUAUUCCUUUCAACUUAUUUUAUUUUGAAAUGGGUCGAGUAUAGUUUUUUUUACAGGGGGUUCCACCCACAGUUAGAACUACUCAGACUUAAAUUAGAGUUUAUGAUUAAAAAAAAGAGUAAAUAGUCACUUUUAUCCUUCAAUAUGUAAGUCGCUAACAAAUAUAUCACUGAAAAAUGCAAAUAUAAAAUUUAGUCUCUGAAAAUAUAAAAAGGUGCUAUAAAUAUAUCUCGCCAUUAAACUUUCAUCCGUCAUCGUUAAUAAAACAAACUACGUGGUACAAAGAGAUAAAUUUGUCACUGAAAUGAUGGCCAGCGUGAAUUGUCAGCAUAGGGACAUAUUUGUCAUAAUAUUUUAUUGACAUUUUGUCUUCCUACUCCACUGACGAAUGUGUCCCUGAAAUAUGAAAAUGCAAAAUUUAGUCCCAAAAGUUUAAAAAAAUGUGACAAAUAUAUCCGAACAUUAAUAAUAAAUUGCAUGAGAGAAAANNNNNNNNNNNNNNNNNNNNNNNNNNNNNNNNNNNNNNNNNNNNNNNNNNNNNNNNNNNNNNNNNNNNNNNNNNNNNNNNNNNNNNNNNNNNNNNNNNNNUUUUUUCCCCUCUUAAAUUAAUACCUCUUAGCAUUAUGAUAAUAAGGUGUCUGAGUGAAACAGUUAAGUUUAUUCGAGGAUUCUUUGAUAUUAAAGGUAUAUAUAUACAUUUAAUGGAUUAAAAAAAUUACUUAUAAUUGUACUUUAGCUUUAUUGGAGUUAAAAUUUUGUGAGACUUUUUUUUUAAAAAAAAUAGUUGAUUAAAUUCUUUUUCCUAAAAUAAAUAAGUAAAUAAAUUUGAUCCCACAACCGAUUGUGUUUUUUCUACCCAAAACUUGUAAUAUAUUAUUUUCAAUAGAAAUAUAAGAAUACUUAAAUUAGAAUUGAGACAUUGAAUAAUUUUAAAGAUUAAAAAUGAGAAAUUUAAUAAAAAUUUGAUAAAAUUAUAAGAAAAUUUUUUUAAUAGCAAAAAUUAAGAUUUGACAAAAAAAUCAAAAUAAUAUAUAUAUAUAUUUAAAAAAUAUAUUACAUAAGUAAUAAACAAAUAGGAACAAUAAAUUACAAACACAUAAUAAUAAUAAUAAUAAUAAUAAUAAUAAUAAUAAUAAUUAGUCACAUUCUAUUAUUAACAAUUUAUAAUAUUUUUUAUACUUUCAGAAACUAAAUUUUACAUUUUUAUUUUUAUUUUAAAGUAAAAAAAUAUUUUGACAAAUAUGCUCAUAUAAAAAAUAUAUUUAUCACACUUUUCACACUUUUAAGACUAAAUUUUAUACUUUCAUCUUUCAGGAACACAUUUAUCAAUAAAUUAGACAUUGAAAUGACUAUUUAUCCUAAAAAAAAUGAGAAGGUUUGGUGUUUACAUUUAGUUUCCUUUUUUUUUUCUACCCACAACAUUAUUCAUGUCCACCCUUACCUUUGCUUCAUGAAGGUGAAACAAGUCAGAGUAUAAUGGGUGCCAUAUUUCCUUCUCAUUUUGGCAUAAUUUGUUGUAAAAAAGAAAUUUCUCAAUAUAAGCAUUUGCCACGAGGGCAAAAUAUAUCUUCCUUCUAUUUACAUUUGAUGAAACUAGAAGGCAAAUUUUCCCAGAUGGGAUCCUUUUAAAAAGUAUUUCCCCAAAUGGGGUGGUUUUGAAAAUUUUUACGUCAAGGGAUUAUUUUUUACGUAAAAUGCAUGGGGCUCUUAGCAAACCGUCAUUGCCAAUGGUGAGUUUGCUGAGCAUCUCCCACGUGGCAAGGAAAACGCCACUCGUGAUGGCGAUUUGAUAGGGCUUGAACUCGCCACCUCUGCUGGCGAUUCUGUGCAUGAUUUUGGAAACCGCUACUUUGACUGACGGGUUGGCUUUGCAGGGGGAGGUUCAGGCGUAGGCUAGGCGGUGCAGCUACAAUGCAGGCUGCAGCAGGUGCAGAAGGACUGGAAAUCGCCAGUCAUGGUGGCGAUUUGGUUGUUAAAAAAUUUUCUGGCCUAUAAAGCAAUGCAGGAGGUGCUCCCUUAGUCUGCUUCGUUUUUUAAUCCCUUCCCUUCACUCUUCACUGCAUUGCUUCUUCCUUCUCCUGCCAUUGUUGUUUGCUUCCAGUGAACUCAUUUUAUUUUCUUGCUACGGGUUUGUGUUAUUGGUAAGUAUGCUGUUAACUGAAUUUUUUUUUGUGUGAUAUAUAUGUUUAAGUAUAAUUGAUAUAUUAAUAUUAAUUGAUAAAUUUUUUAUAUGUUGUAGGUGAAGUUUUUGUUCUUCUUUGGCCUACACUUUUUGGUUGCUUUUCUUAGUACGUAUUUGAGGUAAGUUAAUUUAUUUUUAUCUUGUUUGCUAUAUACUUUUAUGUUAUAUACAUAUAUGUUAAAUUAAUUUUAGUUGAGAUAUUAAUGUUAUUUAGGUUAAAUUUUUGUAAGUUGUAAGUUAUUAGCUGUGUUAUAUAUAUAUGUUAGGUUAGUUUUAGUUAAUUUAUAAAUAUUAUUUUAAGAAUAUUAGUUAGAUUAAUAUACAUAUGUUAAGUUAGUAUUAAUUGUGCUUUAGGUUAGUUUUUGAUAAUAUUAUUUUGUUUAGAUUUUAUAAAUUAGUAUGGUAUUAUUUGUUUUAUAUAUGUGUAGAUUUUGGUUAGUAUAUAUAUAGUACGUUUGUUUAGUUUAGGUGAUAAUUUUAAAUUUUAAGUACUGUCCUAAAAUAAUAAAAUUAUUUGUAUUAUACGUUGUAGUUAAUUUGUUAAUAUGAAUUUGUUUAAGUUUUUUUAAUUGAUAUGUUAUUAUUAUUUGGUUUAGAUUUUUUAGAUUUGUAUGAUAUUAUUUAUGUUAUAUAUAUAGUAUGUUAGGUUUAGUUAGAAUGUUGAUAUUAUUUAGUUUAUUUUUUUUAAUUUUUCUUGGAAUAUAUGAUACUUUGUUAAUAAUAUAUAUAUAUAUAUAUAUAUAUAUAUAUAUAUUGUUUAAAUUUUUGUUUCCAUUGUAUUUUUUGGAUUUUUUUUGGAUUUUUUUAAAUUUAUUUGUGUAAUAUAUGUAAUUUAAUUUAAAUUUUAAUUAUCAAAAAAUAAAUUGGUAAUUUAUUUAAAUUUAUGUAUGUAUUUAAAUUUUUAAUUUUAUUAUUUGUAUAGCAUUUUAGUUAGUAAUUUAGUUAGUAUUUUAUGUUUUUUAUGUAAUUUAAUUUAUAAUUUUGUUAGAAUGUUAAUAUUAUUUAGUUUAUUUAUUUAUUUUUAAUUAUAUAUAUAUAUUGUUUAAAUUUUUGUUUCCAUAAUAUUUUUUGAAUUUAUUUUAAUUUAUUUGUGUAAUAUAUGUAAUUUAUUUAAAUUUAUGUAUGUAUUUAAAUUUUUAAUUUUGUUAUUUGUAUAGUAUUUUAGUUAGUAUUUUAUGUAAUUUAAUUUGUAAUUUUGUUAGAAUGUUAAUAUUAUUCAGUUUAAAGAUUUUUAAUUUUGUAUAGUAUUUUGUUGUUCAAAUUUAUGUAUUUUGUUAUUUAGUGACAUUUUAAUUAAUUUGUUUAAGUCAAAUGCAAUGGCAGUUGCAACUCCCCUUUAUCUGUAAAACCUGCAAUCCUGCAAAAGCAAAACCGCCAGUUUGACUGACGAUUUACUUACCCGUGCCCAGACUCGCCAGCAAAGGUGGCGAGUUCAAGCUGCUAUCAAAUCGCCAUCACGAGCAUUUUCCUUGCCACGUGGGAGUUGCUCAGCAAACUCGUCAUUGACAAUGACGAUUUGCUAAGAGUCCCAUACAGUUUACGUAAAAAACAACCCCUCACGUAAAAUUUUUCAAAACAACCCCAUUUAAAAAAAUACUUUUUAAAAGGACCCCAUCGGGGGAAAUUUGCCAAACUAGAAUGUAUCAUCUUUUAACUAAAUUUUUCCUGUUGUCCUAUAUUUUAAUGUGAAUCAAACAUAAAAACAACUCAUUUGUAACGUCUUGGAUCAUUCUAACCUUUUAGCAAUAGCUAUAAUGGUCGAGUGUUAGACAAUCCAACCACGAUUUCAUUAUUUGAUGUGAACGAGUUGUCAUAUAAAAAAAACUUAAAUAUAUUUUCUGUCCCUAUAAUUUAGGAUUUCUAUUUUUUUUCAUCCCACCUAAAAAAAAUCAUUUUAAUCCCUAAUGUAUUUAUUUGUUUCGAAAACAGUUUAGAUAAUAACCCUUUGAACAAUAAAAAAAUAUCAACUAUAAUAUUUUUAAGACAAAAAACAAAACACAGAUUUUAUACCGAAACAAAAAAAAAAAUGCAAGCUCAAAAAUGUAAAAAACACUAAAUUACUAGAAUGAAAAAUGUAUUUAUACCUAUAAAAAAAAUAUAUUUGAACCCAUAUCAAAAUAAUGGUGGCCUACUUUCAUCAAUACACUUGGCAAGCGUAAGCAUAUUAGUUAACUAGCUAUGAUAAGCUACUUAAAAUACACUCAUGGCCAGAAUAAAAUGGACUGCGUAAACUUAAAAACAAUUUCUCUCAAAUACCGCCAAUUAUUUCAAAGAAACCUAUACAAUUGCUGGUAGUGACAAGUUUAGGACCAAAGGUAGCCACAAAUACGUUAUGCUGAAAUGUGUAUGUGAACAAUGUAUNNNNNNNNNNNNNNNNNNNNNNNNNNNNNNNNNNNNNNNNNNNNNNNNNNNNNNNNNNNNNNNNNNNNNNNNNNNNNNNNNNNNNNNNNNNNNNNNNNNNNNNNNNNNNNNNNNNNNNNNNNNNNNNNNNNNNNNNNNNNNNNNNNNNNNNNNNNNNNNNNNNNNNNNNNNNNNNNNNNNNNNNNNNNNNNNNNNNNNNNNNNNNNNNNNNNNNNNNNNNNNNNNNNNNNNNNNNNNNNNNNNNNNNNNNNNNNNNNNNNNNNNNNNNNNNNNNNNNNNNNNNNNNNNNNNNNNNNNNNNNNNNNNNNNNNNNNNNNNNNNNNNNNNNNNNNNNNNNNNNNNNNNNNNNNNNNNNNNNNNNNNNNNNNNNNNNNNNNNNNNNNNNNNNNNNNNNNNNNNNNNNNNNNNNNNNNNNNNNNNNNNNNNNNNNNNNNNNNNNNNNNNNNNNNNNNNNNNNNNNNNNNNNNNNNNNNNNNNNNNNNNNNNNNNNNNNNNNNNNNNNNNNNNNNNNNNNNNNNNNNNNNNNNNNNNNNNNNNNNNNNNNNNNNNNNNNNNNNNNNNNNNNNNNNNNNNNNNNNNNNNNNNNNNNNNNNNNNNNNNNNNNNNNNNNNNNNNNNNNNNNNNNNNNNNNNNNNNNNNNNNNNNNNNNNNNNNNNNNNNNNNNNNNNNNNNNNNNNNNNNNNNNNNNNNNNNNNNNNNNNNNNNNNNNNNNNNNNNNNNNNNNNNNNNNNNNNNNNNNNNNNNNNNNNNNNNNNNNNNNNNNNNNNNNNNNNNNNNNNNNNNNNNNNNNNNNNNNNNNNNNNNNNNNNNNNNNNNNNNNNNNNNNNNNNNNNNNNNNNNNNNNNNNNNNNNNNNNNNNNNNNNNNNNNNNNNNNNNNNNNNNNNNNNNNNNNNNNNNNNNNNNNNNNNNNNNNNNNNNNNNNNNNNNNNNNNNNNNNNNNNNNNNNNNNNNNNNNNNNNNNNNNNNNNNNNNNNNNNNNNNNNNNNNNNNNNNNNNNNNNNNNNNNNNNNNNNNNNNNNNNNNNNNNNNNNNNNNNNNNNNNNNNNNNNNNNNNNNNNNNNNNNNNNNNNNNNNNNNNNNNNNNNNNNNNNNNNNNNNNNNNNNNNNNNNNNNNNNNNNNNNNNNNNNNNNNNNNNNNNNNNNNNNNNNNNNNNNNNNNNNNNNNNNNNNNNNNNNNNNNNNNNNNNNNNNNNNNNNNNNNNNNNNNNNNNNNNNNNNNNNNNNNNNNNNNNNNNNNNNNNNNNNNNNNNNNNNNNNNNNNNNNNNNNNNNNNNNNNNNNNNNNNNNNNNNNNNNNNNNNNNNNNNNNNNNNNNNNNNNNNNNNNNNNNNNNNNNNNNNNNNNNNNNNNNNNNNNNNNNNNNNNNNNNNNNNNNNNNNNNNNNNNNNNNNNNNNNNNNNNNNNNNNNNNNNNNNNNNNNNNNNNNNNNNNNNNNNNNNNNNNNNNNNNNNNNNNNNNNNNNNNNNNNNNNNNNNNNNNNNNNNNNNNNNNNNNNNNNNNNNNNNNNNNNNNNNNNNNNNNNNNNNNNNNNNNNNNNNNNNNNNNNNNNNNNNNNNNNNNNNNNNNNNNNNNNNNNNNNNNNNNNNNNNNNNNNNNNNNNNNNNNNNNNNNNNNNNNNNNNNNNNNNNNNNNNNNNNNNNNNNNNNNNNNNNNNNNNNNNNNNNNNNNNNNNNNNNNNNNNNNNNNNNNNNNNNNNNNNNNNNNNNNNNNNNNNNNNNNNNNNNNNNNNNNNNNNNNNNNNNNNNNNNNNNNNNNNNNNNNNNNNNNNNNNNNNNNNNNNNNNNNNNNNNNNNNNNNNNNNNNNNNNNNNNNNNNNNNNNNNNNNNNNNNNNNNNNNNNNNNNNNNNNNNNNNNNNNNNNNNNNNNNNNNNNNNNNNNNNNNNNNNNNNNNNNNNNNNNNNNNNNNNNNNNNNNNNNNNNNNNNNNNNNNNNNNNNNNNNNNNNNNNNNNNNNNNNNNNNNNNNNNNNNNNNNNNNNNNNNNGCAGAGAGGAAGCAAGCCCUUCGGCACUAUAUCUUCAUCUAGCAACUUGAAAACGUCAUCCUAGAAAUAUACAUAAGCUAACUUUGUUAUGAAGAAUUGAUAAACUAAAAUUCUUAAACUUCAUCUACUUGACCUGCACAUCCUCUGAAGAAUAUUCAAAUUUAAGACACAUUGACAGAAAUUGACAGAAAACAUAUUAAAAUAUUCUCAAAAUGCUUUACAUAACAUAUUCAACCCUUUUCCUUAAAACAUUUUGCAAUAGCCAAAGAGAUGUAUUUCCUAGAAAUAUUGGUGCAUACCUACUUAAGUAAUGUUGAAAUAUGAUGCACAUAACAAAGAGGAGUGUUAGUAACACUCUUUCUUACACAUUCCUUCUAACAUAUUCUCUGGUAUUGAUUCAAAUUUAUUAUAAAAAAAAACUGCAAAAUCAGUAGUGAGACUUAAUUUGACUAAUUUCUAAUAAAUUUCACUCAAUAAGAGAAAGUAUGUUCAAAAUAGUGUAUUGGUUAGUGCCAUUACCAACAUUUCUCAACAACAAAACUUACAUCUCACUAUUUCUUGCAAAUCUUAACAAGUAUGGUUUGCUAGAGAAACCUUUAUCAAAAAUAGAAGCCCGAACUACAUAUAAAAUUCUCCUAAAUCUUUAGUGGUAAAAAGAGGAAAUGUGUGAAGAAACUACACACAUGCUUGAUAAGAAAAUAAUACAAUGAGAUGUGGGAAUAUAUUCCAAACUCCAAGCACAUUAACAACAACACAAGAAGCCUGACUAACUCCAUCAAAUCUUUAUUCUGAGCAUUAUUUUAACUAUUGAACCCCGCAAGGCUAAUGAAUACAGCCAAGGAGGAUAGCAAUGCUAAUAUGUCAAAAACCAUGUGUAUUGGUUAGUGCCAAUACCAACAUUUCUCAACAACAAAACUUACAUCUCACUAUUUCUUGCAAAUCUUAACAAGUAUGGUUUGCUAGAGAAACCUUUAUCAAAAAUAGAAGCAUGAGCUACAUAUAAAAUUCUCCUAAAUCUUUAGUGGUAAAAAGAGGAAAUGUGUAAAGAAACUACACACAUGCUUGAUAAGAAAAUAAUACAAUGAGAUGUGGGAAUAUAUUCCAAACUCCAAGCACAUUAGCAACAACACAAGAAGCCUGACUAACUCCAUCAAAUCUUUAUUCUGAGCAUUAUUUUAACUAUUGAACCCCGCGAGGCUAAUGAAUACAGCCAAGGAGGAUAGCAAUGCUAAUAUGUCAAAAACCAUGUGCUAGCAUCAAUCUUCUCUCCACCAAACAAUUUUUCAUACCACUUAAAUUUAGAGAAAUAAUCGCUUAAAAUGAACAAUUAUUGUUUUCAAAAUAAACUGAACAAAACACAGCACAUAAAAAUGGAUUUUAUGAAAAAAGGAAAAGGUAUUUGCACGUUGUACAAGUCUAGAUACAUUAACGCAAAAUCAAAGAAGAUACAAGCGUGAAAUGUACCAUUGGCACUUAACGCAAAAGGAAUGUGCCGUUUAUUUCAUUCCUUGAGCAACAUAACACGGCGUCAAUGGAUGUGAAAGUAAUAUCGUCACCCUCAGACACAAGAAAGACAUCUAUGAACAACCUAACUCGCUGUAAAGAUGACUUAGGUCUUGGAUAUAGCAACAAAAUUGGGAAAAAACAAUUUGACAGAUUAAAACAGAAAUAAAUAAAUAAGACGAAUAAAAGAUUUUAGCGGUGAGAUUCAGAAAUGAACCCUAAUUCUUUGCUUUCGCAGAGCAAACCAACAAAACAGAAUCGAUUUACAGAUCGCAAUUCGCCGACUGAAGAAAAUUACUGAGAAGUGAGAAGAAGAAUCCAUCAUUGGAUUUCGAUUGUGGAGAAAUGAGAAAUCGAGAAUCUUCGCCUUGCGGUGGAAUGGUUUUCUUAUCUCACUAUAUAUAGUGGAGUCAGGAGUGUGAUCAUAAACCCUAGAAGGGUG
RNAcentral lists this long non-coding RNA (78636 nucleotides) under Glycine max (soybean). RNAcentral describes it as "long non-coding RNA (GMAX_LNC003977)". The stretch from base 28523 to 28642 matches the Rfam family "MIR1520 microRNA precursor family". The record is from RNAcentral. Lineage: Eukaryota; Viridiplantae; Streptophyta; Magnoliopsida; Fabales; Fabaceae.